RNAcentral lists this long non-coding RNA (76628 nucleotides) under Nicotiana benthamiana. Its description in RNAcentral is "long non-coding RNA (NBEN_LNC031138)". The record is from RNAcentral. Lineage: Eukaryota; Viridiplantae; Streptophyta; Magnoliopsida; Solanales; Solanaceae.
UACACAAUAGGUGGAAUAGAUAGGUAAAAAAAUAACCAGCAGAUAAUGCCUCGCAUCACAAGAUAACCAGUAGCAUCCUAAGACUAACUCCUAACUAGCUAGUCUCACAAUAGUGCACUGUAGAAAUAUUCACAACUUCCCCAUAUACUACAACCUUGAUGCUCAACCUCCACAACUCCAUGUCAAGGGCCGUGUCCUCCGUAAUCCUAAGUCGUGCCAUGUCCUGCCUGAUCACCUCUCCCCAAUACUUUUUAGGUCGCCCUCUACCUCUCCUUGUGCCCACCACAAUCAGUCGCUCACAUAUCCUUAUCGGUGCAUCAGUGCUCUGCCUCUGAAUAUGCCCGAGCCAUCUGAGUCUUGCUUCCCGCAUCUUGUCUUCCAUAGGGGCCACGCCCACCUUUUUUCAAAUAUCUUCAUUCCUAAUCUUAUCCAUCCUUGUAUGCCUGGACAUCCACCUCAACAUCUUUGUCUGUGCUACUUUCAUCUUCUGGAUGUGUGAGUUCCUGACCAGCUAACAAUCAUUCUCAUACAACUUGGCAUGCCUAACCAGUGCUCUAUAAAACAUACCUUUUAGUAACGGUGUCACUUUCUUGUCACAUAGAACUCCCUAUGCUAACCUCCACUUCAUCCACUCAACCCCUAUACGAUGUGUGACAUCCUCAUCGAUCUCCCCGAUCUCCUGAAUAACCGACCCAAGGUACUUGAAACUACCCCUCUUGGGAAUGACUUGAGAGUCAAGCCUCACGUCCACUCCUGCUUCCAUCGGCUCGACCCCUAAUUUGCACCCCAAAUCAUUUACAUCAUGAAUACAUGAAUUUAUGGAAGAUAUUUAUAUUUCAAUAAAAUAUUCAAAAGAUAGAAAUAUAAGAUUUUGUGAAUUCCAUUUCGGUAAGUGUUGUGGUUAAACAUGACUUGAGGGAAUAGAACCUUUGAAUUAUUUGUUAUGUGAAUUACUUGUGUAUAACAUAUAGGCAAGGUGACAGUUGGUAUCACAGAUGUUUGCUAGAAAUUUCUGGUUCAUGGAGCCAACUUUGGAAGCUUGUAUCUCGCAACGCAUAAGGAAUCUGAAAGUUAUCAAAACAUGAAAUUCGUAGCCCUUUGAUUCUACUUUCUAGAAAGGUAAUUUGUUCAUCAUUUGGAUAUUUUUACCGAAAGUUAGUAUGCAUUGAAAGAAGUCAAAAGCAGUUUCACUAGAAAUUUCUGAUGCAUCGAGCUUGUGGAAGCUUAUAUCUCGUAAUCCAUAAGGAAUCAGAAAAUUAUCAAAACAUGAAAGUUGUAGCCCUUUGAUUCUAGUUUAACAUUUGUACAUAAAGUUAUGAUUGAGUGAAUGAAGUAUGGUGCAAUCAAGUUCUGGUGUGGUCUUUUAGUGACUAAAAAUGGAUUUUUAGUGACGGGUGAGCAGAAACUUAAGGACACAAAAUUGUCAUUUCCUUCAUUCGUUUUGGAUUUUUGGAGAAUAUUUCUUGGGCGGUUUUUGGGCCAUUUUCAUGAGAAAAAAAAUAGGGUAAGUGUUCCUUAUACUAUAUUGAUUAUAUUUUAUGAUUCCAUAAAUAUUUAUAUCAUGAAUACGUUAAUCAUUUAAACAUUUUUUGAUAAAGUUAUGAUCGAUUGAAUUAAGGAUGUUGCAUGCAAAUUCUAUUGUGGACUUUUAGUGACAGAUGACUAGAAACUUAAGGACCAAAAAAUGCUCAUUUCCUUCAUUUAGUUUUGGAUUUUUGGAGCAUGGUUCUUGCCUUUGUGUUUGUUGUUGUUAAAUUUCUCCCGUACUUGAUGGGUGCAAAGGUGAUUGUUCACAAAUCAUGCAGCACUUUGCUAUGUCAAGAGCAAGAAAGAUUCCAAAUCUUUUUUGAUGAGAUAGGUACUAUUGUUGCAAAGGUUUGACAUUGAUAUCCAAGAUCGGAAAAGGUAUGAAAACCAAGUGGCGAACAACUUGUCUCAUUUGGUGGAGGAGGGGAGGCCACAUGAUGGCCUUGAAAUCAAUAACUCCUUCCCCCAUGAGUAACUUUUCCUUUGUCAAUGAAAGAGAUGCCUUGGUUUGCGGAUUUGGAAAAUUAUCUUGUGAGGGGUAUCAUUCCGGUUGAGUUGUCAUGAGUAACUUUUUGCUUUUUCUAAGAAAGAGAUGCCUUGGUUUGCGGAUUUGGAAAAUUAUCUUGUGAGUGGUAUCAUUCCGGUUGAGUUGUCUUCAAACCAAAUCAAGAAACUCAAACGGGAUUAUCAAAAGUGCUAUUGGAAUGAACCAUAUCUUUUCUGGAUUUAUACGGAUGAAGUGAUUAGAAGAUGUGCAUCGGAGGACGAACAAAGUGAAAUUCUUUGGGCUUUCCACUCUUUGCCUAAUAGUGGUCACCAUGGUGGAGCAAGAACGGGGCCAAGAUGUUAAGUUGCGGGUUCUAUUAGCACUCUCUUCAAGGAUGCAAGUGAGCUUGUCAAGCAUUUUGAUCAAUGCCAAAGGGCGAGAGAAAUCGCAAAGAAAAAUGAAAUGCCCCUCACCACCAUCUUGCAGAUUGACAUUUUUGAUGGGGCACAAUAUUGAUUUCAUAGGUCCAUCCAUGAGUUUUUGUGGAAACACCUACAUCUUGGUCGCGGUUGAUUAUGAGUCCAAAUAGGUUGAGUUUGUUGCUUUGCCCAAAAAUGAAGCGAGUAGUACGAUGGAAUAUUUGAAGAAAAACAUCUUUAUAAGAUUUGGUACCCCAAGGGAUAUCAUAAGUGAUGGGGGUUCGCAUUUUUGGAAAAAGGCUUUCGACACGUUACUCACAAAGUAUGGUGUCACUUACAAAGGUACAACCACCUAUCAUCCUCAAGCAAGUGGUGGAAGUCUCCAACCGGGAGACAAAGAGUAUUUUGUCCAAAAUAGUGAAUGCCAACUGGAUAGAUUGGUCAAAGAGACUUGAUGAUUCUUUAUGGGCUUAUAGACGUCUAACAAAACACUAACUGGAAUGUGUCUAUACCGGUUGGUGUUUGGAAAAGCUUGCCAUCUUCCGGUGGACCUUGAGCACAAGGCCAUGUGGGCUUUGACGAAGUUGAACCUUGAGUGGGAUGUCACCGCCAACUUAAGAGUGGCACAAUGGAAUGAGUUAGAUUAGUUACAGUACCAUUCAUAUACAAGUUCAUCCUUAUACAAGGAGAAGAUUAAGAACCUCCAUGACAAGUACAUUUAGAUCAAGGAGUUCAAACAAGGUGAACUUGUGUUAUAGUUUAGUUCUCGAUUACAGAUGUUCAAUAAUGUAAUCCCCAACAGAUUGCUCUUUGUUCAUCACUAUCCAGUUUCCCGAAGUGUGUACUUCCUUAUUUGAACCACAAAGUAUUGUACAUUUGCUUAGGGAUUGCCUUGUUUUUGCCAUCCGUUGUAAAUGAUCUCCUGCGUUUUUUCCAUGCUGUCCUUGACCAUAAAUCAUCCUGAAGUAGUCAACAAGAUUUCCAAGAGAAGUUUUUAAGCCCAUUUGAACCCAAAUUCUCCAUAUGAAUUUCCAACUGUGACAUGCUGAUAAUGUAGACGUUUCAGCUAUGUCAUGUUCAGCUCCAUGCGUGUACUGUCUCUUUACUUGAUAUUGCUUUCCUUGAAUAUGGUGAUAGUUCUUUGAAAUAUAUUAUUUUGAUGCACUAAGGUUUUGUGCCCAUGAUGAACCAAAUAUACCAGAAUUACGCGCGAAAACCAGAAGUUUCCAAAGCUUAUGCCUAGUGCUGUCCGUAGUUGCCUUCUCAGGCUUGUGCUUGCCAUCGUUCCUUCUUCAAGGGAAUGAGUAUUGAGUACUAAUACCACCCAUCGAAGUCGUAGUAAAUGACAAGGCAUGAGUACAUUGACAUUUCCUGCAAAAAAAAAACAUUGUUAGUGAAAAUCUUAUAAACACCUUCUUCUCCAAAAAGAUUUGAAAAUGUUGAUCCUACUCAUGGUCAACACACUUGUUUCUGCUCCACACUCUUAUACCUUUCACGUUCCUACUUUGUUGUGUUAUAGCCAGAUUUUCCUGACUCCCUAUAUCCCUUGAUAUCUAAAUGCCUACUUCUAUACUUCAUGUUCCAUGAUGCUCAUUUCGAUUAAACGUUCUGAGAAUUGAAUCAUCUUUAGUUGCUAUGUAUUGCCCAUAAGUCAAGCUGCUACAAAGAAUAUGCAGCAGACUACCAUGCAUCUCAUGUCCAGAUACCACUAAAUGUCCAUUUCUCUAAGACGUUCUGGACUUAUCUCCAUCCUUUUUCUUAUAUAACUUCUCAUUUCUGUCUUUUGAAUGACCCUCCCUUUUAUGUGCACUACAUAUUCCUCCACCUAGCAUUUGACAUUACCCAUUUUUGUUAGACUUUCUGUUGAGUUGUCCCACAUCGGAGGGAUUUGAGGUCCUUUGUCUCUUUAUAUGGCUUGGGCAAUCCUCACCUCACAAGCUAGCUUUUGGGGUUGAGUUAGGCCCAAUGUCCAUUCUUUUCAUUGUCUGGGAAUUUUCCUCCAACUUGUUCGGUUUUUCCAUAAGAAAGACAAUGUCCAGCAAUAAGGUUCUUCCAUUGGAUUGGGUGUAAUCUAUGAGUGUUGUCUUAGCCUAUGAUAGGGUUGUUCCAAUGGGCAUUUCCAUUUCUGGUUUCCCAAGUUGACUGUAGCUCCUUGAAUGAUUUAGCAUUUCCAUGGUCCCUGCUGCCUCUACUCCUGCUACUUCUAAUUUCCUUACAAUGGGUUGAGUGUUACGCACUAAUUUCACCAUCAGGAAAUCCAUUAGAUUGUAGAGCAUAUAGGCUUCUCCUCUCCCUAAUCUUUUUUCCGUUAAUCCUUGUUGCCGUCUUCCUUUAUACUAAUUCCACCAUCUAGAAAUCCAUUAUAUUGUAGAGCAUAUAGGCUUCUCCUCUCCCUAAUCUUUUUUCCAUUAAUCCUUGUUGCCGUCUUCCUUUAUGUCUCUUUGUUGUAUUUUGUCUUGAUGAAGCAUCUCUUUAGUGUGUUCCAGUUGUUCCUAUUGUAUAGAUGCUCCAGAUUCUUGUCCAAUAUUAUUGUACCUUCCCAAUUCUAGUCUGGGUAGAUUUCUAAGUUUCAACUAUUUUUGUGAGGCUCCUAUGUGUUGUGCUAUUGUCUAGUCUUAUUCUUGUCCAAUAUUGUUGUACCUUGCCAAUUCUAGUCUGGGCAGAUAUGCAAGUUUCAACUAUUUUUAUGAGGCUCCAAUGUGUUGUGCUAUUGUCUAGUCUUAUAAACCUUCCAUUAAGUUGAAUGCUAAGCACUGAUACAACCAACAGGAAGUCUACUAGAUCACAAUCACACAUAAUGUGUACCUGCAAAACAAAAAACAAAGUUAGUAGAAAAGGGAGUCACCAUGCUCUCCUCUAUACAAAUUUGAGCAUGGUAAAUACUCUUGCGUUAUCCCCCUAUCUUCCUAUUAUCUCCCUCUCCUUCACACAUUAGUUUCUUACAACUUUGACUCUCAAAUAAGGGCAUUACAACUUGUCUUCAUUCAUUAAAUUUCUUCCUUGAGAUUCCAACUCUCCGAAACCAAAGCAUUCUAUAUCCCCUACAUCCAGAGCAUAGUUAGCUAGGUAGUCUGCAAGUUUGUUUCCUUCUCUGAAGAUGUGGGACACCUAAUUGUUGACCCCUUCCAUUAACAGCCUAAUCUCCUAAAUAUGUUCAAUGAUACCCCAAGGAGGUUUCCAUGAUCCCUUGAUCGAGUUUUUCAGCACCAUUGAAUCAGUCUGCAACCAAAUAUGUGAAUAAUUCUAGGAUUUACAAAACCUAUAAGCCUCCACAAUAGUUGUUGCUUCUGCUUCAUUAUUCGAUCCUUCUGUGAUCUCAUUUCCUAAUGCAUACCUCAGGUCUCCCAUCUUACCCCACACACAAAAUCCAAUUGAGCUUCUUCCUGGAUUUACCCUAGAGGUGCCAUCUAUGUUCACCUUUAACCACCCCUCUCUUAGGAAUUCUAAAGUGACCUUAUCAACCUUUAGCCUUGGUGUAUACCUCUCCAAAGUUGCCAGUAUAUCUUGCCAUCUUAAGGGGUACUCUAAGUCCUGGUUUUCUAUAAUGGACCAAUCGUUACAGUGUUGUUGGACUUGGUGAAUAACCCUGCUAACUGACACAGUCUCCCCAUAUGUUAAGUUGUUUCUUCUUUUCCAUAUCUCCCAUACAAUACAAGAUGGUACUGCCGUCAAUAUUGGCUUAAUUGUUUGUAUCACAUGGGUUGUCAAACACUUGGUAAUGGCCUGAUGCAUAGUCAGCCCUUCUACUGCUAUAUCUGCUCUCCUCAAAAAAUAUGUCCAUACUGUAGUAGCAGGCUUAGAUUAGAAGAACAAAUGACUCAGAGUCUCCUCCUUAGGGUCAACACAACACCAACAUCUUGAGGGCAUCGAGUAGCCCAAUCUUUUCAUGAAGCCAUCUAACGGUAAUUUGGAUUUCCACACCUUCCAUAAAAAAAAAAAUUAAAUGGAAGUACCUUUACCCAUAUCUUCUUAUAAUCUUCCUUGGGAUCAUCCCUUCUCCUUUAUAUUCCCACACUUAUUUAACAGUAAAAAUUCCUUUAGGCUCCUACAUCCAAUAUGGGGAGUCCAGUACAUUUUGAAGAACUUGAGGUUUGAUUUUUUGUAUAAUAUGCAUUGCUAGAUCUUCUAGUAGAAGCUCUAUCAGUCUAUCUAUGUCCCAUGCUCCAUUCUAUACAACUUCAAACACAUUUUGAAUACUCUCAUCAACUCCAAUGUUCUGUGGGACUAUGAAAUAUAGAGCACCCAACCCUGUCUAAUUGUCAAACCAAUACAUAGAUUACCCCAUUUUUGGCUUCCCAGAAUCUGAUGUUCAAUGAUGUCCCUGCAUUCAAGCAUUUUCCUCCAGACAUGAGUUCCUGUUCUUCAUGGAACAAUUACCGCAUUCAUCCUUUUACAGUAAUUUUGGCUUACCAAAUAACUCCAUAUACUAAGCUUUGUUCUAAAAUUCAACGACAGUUUACAUAACAAAGCCUUAGAUAAAUCAUGUAAUGAUCUAAAUCCAAUACCUCCCUCUUCAUAUGGCAUACAAAGAUUGGUCCUAGAAGCCCAAUACCUACUAGUACCUCCCACAGCACUACUCCAGAAGAAUUGAGCAAAGAUUUUGUGCAGCAUAUGAAUAACAUACUUAGGGGGAUUCACAGCUGACAAAAGAUGGAUUGGCAAGCUCUGAAGUACACUUCCUAUCAACAUUGCCUGUCCUCCAAUUGACGGCAAUUUCCAUAGGUGACUUGCUUUUGUUCACGAGCUGCCUAGAUGUAGCUUCAUAUGCAUGCAGAACCUCCACCACUAAGCGUAAUAAAGUAGCAUCUGAGGAUGUAAAAAUUAUGGUGUCGUCUGCAUAGGCUACAUGGCUGAUUUUUGGGCUCCAUUUAGGAAUACCAAAGCCACAGAAGUAUAUAUUCUGAUGCAACCAAUUCAAACCUCAAGAGAGAGCUUCUGCAGCUAGAAUUAAGAGAGUUUGUGAUAAAGGAUCACCCUGCUUGAUGCCCCUAGAUGACUUGAAGAAUCCAUAAGCCUGUCCAUGACAAACAUAGAAUACUAAUUGUUUCCUACCAAAUCAAACACCAUCCCAAUGAAUCUAUUACAAAAUCCCAUCUUUUUAGCAUUUUUGUCAGGAAUAACUAUGAAAGCGUGUCAUAUGCCUUUCUCAUGUCGAGCCUGAUCACAACAUUAGAUCUAGCCCUUGUUCUAAGCCUAAUAUCUGUGAUGAUUUGCUUGGUUAGAAGUACAUUCUCCGGCAUACUUCUUCCUUUCAGAAACCCUGCAUGUUCUUCUAAGAUCAGAUUAGGUAGAAGAUACACCAGCCUCUCUGUACUACCCUCGAGAAUAUUUUAUUAAUGAUAUUAUUGAGACUCAUAGGCCCCAAUUUUGCAAAUGUACUGACCUCUUUUUUCUUUGGCAGCAGCACUAAGUUGGUGUGUGUCACAUAUUUUGGUAGCUCGUGACCAUUGAAGAAAGCUAGCACCAUAUUAUAUAUGUCAUCCCCAACAAUAUCCCAACAUGAUUGAUAGAAGGCACCAGUGUACCCAUCAAGACCACCUGCUGAGUCCCCAUUUAGUCCAAAUACUACACUUUUAGCUUCUUUUUUUGUUGGUAAUGCUGUCAGCCUUGAAUUAUGUUCCUUUUCCAUCAAGCAAGGAACAUGAUCAAUUAUAUGUAAAGCAUUAGGAAUUACAAUUUCAGUGAAUUGGUUUUUGUAAAAUCUUAAAGCUUCAUCCGCAGUGAGCUCAUCAUCCUCUAGCCAGUUGCCCAUAUUAUCCUUAAUCCUUUUGAGUUGUAGCCUUUUUCUCAUGCCUCUCACUUGAGCAUGAAAUAACUUUUUAUUUGAUCAUCUCUGCUUGGACCUUCUGCAAUCUCUCUCUAUUUUGCUACGUAGGAUAUGCUUCGAAUUGUCUUUCAUGCACUAAUACUGCCUCUUCAAGGCAUGAAAUCUUCUGAAAAAUAUCACCAAAGGUUGUUCUGCUCCAUGAAGACAACACUUUCUUCAGCUUCUUUAUUUUGUGAUUGAACAAACCAAAUGGAUUUGUAGAAAAAUCUGCAUUCCAAUUUUCAUUUACAAAUGAUUUAAAUGCCUCGUGCUUUGUCCAAAAAUUAAGAAAUCUGAAUGGUUUCUUAAUAGGUGGGUUUCAAUAUCACAUUUUAAAAGCAUUGGGCAAUGAUCAGAUCCAGUCUUUGAUAAAUGAGUGAUCUCUAACCCUGGAAAGGUUUGUUGUUGCUCAAUCUUACCCAGGCUUCUAUCAAACCUUUUAAAUAUACAAUCAUCCUCUGAUCUACCAUUCUACCAAGUAAAAAUACUUCCAUUAAAUCCCAAAUCUGACAUGUUACAAGUAUUAAUGGAGUGUCUGAAAUCAUCUACCUCAAUUAAUGACACCGGCAAUCCUCCAAAUUUUUCUUCCUUAUCACAAAUCACAUUGAAAUCCCCCAACAAGCCAAGGAGCAGCUAUAUCUAAAGCUAUUUCAUACAAUGAAUCCCACAAUUCUAUCCUCUCAAUUGCAUCAAAUUUUGCAUACACCAAAGUUAGAAUCAAUUCUACGUGCAUUUCAGUGUGAAAUAAUUUCAAUUUCAAUUGCUACACCAUGUUGUACAGUAUAGUAACCUCAAAAACUUCAUCAAUAAAUGCCCAUAUUUUAUUUGAAACAUUCAGCACAGCCUAAGCCAAGCCUAUUAUGCUCUUAUUCCUUUCCAUUUUGCUAUACUGUUGCUUUGGUUCCAUGAUUCCUAUGAAUUGAAAAUGAUGUUGUCUAUGCAUCUUAAUCAACCUUUCAAAGGCCUGCAUUGUAUUCAAUGGCUUGACAUUCUAUAUAAUGGCAUCCAUCACUGAUUGAGUGAUUUAGUGAUGUACGAUGUUCUUCUUGUUUGAACCCCUCCUGCUAGGACAGUUGAGGCAUCUUUGAAUUGCUUUUUGUUGCUUCAUGGGCAAUAACCCAUGUGUCUUUUUCUUUUUAUUUUCCAUCUUCUUUAGAUAUGUUUUAUUUAAUGCUAACUAUUUUUAAGUGUGUUGUAGAAUAAGUGUGCUUUGCAUAGAUUGUGCUCGGAAAAAAAUUGAGUGUGGACAUCACAAAUUUGAGUGCCACAGAUUAAUGGACUCUGUGGCCGCACAAUUCUUGUGUGGACCGCACAACAGGGAAGUUAAAAAAUUACACUCUCUCUGAUGUUUUUGUGGUUGCACUAAAAAAUGUGCGGACCACAGAAUCAUCGAGCGUAGAAUAGUAUCAGGUAAUGGAAUGCGUACCACAUAUUAAAUUGUGCGGCCGUACGCACCUCUUAAACCCUUAUCGAUCUGUGAUAGUAUAAAUAGAAGCCCUUAUUCUCCAUCAAAGGCUUUACACACUCAAAACAUUCACAAAGGCAAAAGCACAGUGCACUUAUUUGAUUCAAGCAUCUCUCCCUCAUUUCAUCAUAUUGAUUCAUCCUCAGCAUCAUUUAAUUAUCGGUAUUUUAAUUUAUUUUUAUAAAAAAUUCAUUUUCUUAAUUUUGUUCUUAAUUAGCUAGUUAAUUUUAGGUCUAAUGUAUAAUCCAUCGUCAUGUGAGCUUAUUUUUGCAUGGGUAGUUGCCUACUUACCAUAUGGGGGAUGGGUAAUUUGUUUAUCAUGUCUAAAUUGCUAGUACCAUGUUUAAUUUUUUGUUAAAAGUUGGAACCCUAAGUUCAGUGCCAUUUUGUUUUGAAUUUGCGAUUCGCAGAUUAAUAGUUUAGGGCAGUUUGUGUUUGCUGAUUGGCGAACCACACUCCAAAUUGUGCGAUCCGUAGAAAUUGGACUCCGGCUGCAGAAAAGUGUGUGCGGCCACAGAUCAACCAAUUCUCUAUCUCCAGAGAGUUCACAUUCUUUAGCCUGUAUUACAUGUGGUCGCACUCAAAAAUGUGUAGACCAAAUUUCUUUACCUCCAUCUAGUGUUUCCUGCAAAUGUCUUAUAUUGUGAGUUUGAACAAAACGGAAUCCUGUUGCUAUGUAUUGCAGACAAAGGUUAUAUCUCGUAGAAGAGGUGACACAUCAAAAGACAGGGAUGAACCCUCCCGAGGCUGAGGAAGGGGUAAUAUUCCACUUGUAGUGCAAAGAGAGUUCAAACCCGAUGUCAGCGAUAAGAUCAAAGAAGAGAUGACAAAACAGUUAGAGGUGCGGGUAUGAGUGGUUCGAUACACCACAUGGUUGGCCAAUGUGGUCCCGGUACCAAAGAAAGAUGGGAAAACUCGAGUAUGUGUAGAUUACAGAGAUUUAAACAAGGAAAGUCCCAAAGACAACUUCCCUUUACCUAACAUCCACAUCCUUGGUUACACCUGUGCCAAACACGAGAUACAGUCCUUUGUAGAUUGCUACGCAGGAUACCACCAAGUGUUGAUGGAUGAGAAAAAUGUUGAGAAAACCGCCUUCACCACAAAUUGGGGGACUUACUGUUAUAUAGUUAUGCCUUUCGAUUUAAAGAACACUGGGGCGACAUAUAUGAGGGCUAUGACCACCAUUUUCCAUGACAUGAUGCAUCAGGAAAUAGAAGUGUAUGUGGAUGAUGUGAUUGUCAAGUCCAAGACUCAGGGUGAUCAUGUAAGGGACUUAAGAAAGUUCUUCGAAAGGCUUCGCAAGUAUGAUUUGAAGUUGAAUCCAGCUAGUAUGCAUUUGGGGUCCCGUAAGGCAAACUUCUAGGAUUCAUUAUCUGCCGAAGAGGAAUCGAGUUGGAUCCGACCAAGAUAAAAUGCAUUAGAGAGCUACCUCCUCCAAAAACUAAGAAGGAUCUAAUGAGCCUGCUAGGAAGACUGAAUUACAUCAGCCGAUUCAUCGCCCAGUUGACUUCCACAUACGAGCCCAUAUUCAAGCUAUUGAAAAAGGACGCAUCAAUUAAAUGGACUAGCGAGUGUCAAGAGGCUUUCGACAGAAUCAAACACUACCUGUCCAACCUACCAGUCUUGGUCCCGCCGGAACCGGAAAAGACAUUGUUUCUUUAUCUAGCAGUCCUAGAGAGCUCUUUCUAUUGUAUUCUCGGGCAGCAUGACGCCACGGGAAAGAAGGAGCAAGCCAUCUAUUAUUUAAGCAAGAAGUUUUCUAGUUACGAGGCCAAGUACACACUGCUCGAAAGAACCUGUUGUGCCUUGACGUGGGUGGCCCAGAAGUUGAGGCAUUACCUGCAUGCCCACACCACCUAUCUCCUAGCCAGGCUGGACCCAUUGAGGUAUAUAUUCCAAAAACCGAUGCCCAAAGAGCGAUUAGAAAAAAUGGCAAAUCCUGAUCACCGAGUUCGACAUAGUUUAUGUCACUCGUACUGCAAUGAAUGCUCAAGCAUUAGCAGAUCAUCUGACCAAGAAUCCAGUUGAAGAUGAAUAUCAGCCUUUGAACACCUAUUUCCCUGAUGAAGAAGUGAAUUCAGUGGAAGUAACAUCUGAAGACAUCCCCGCUUGGAGAAUAUUCUUCGACGGAGCAGUAAACGCAAAAGGCGUGGGGAUUGGGGCAAUUUUAAUCUUACCCACGGGUCAGGAUUACCUGGCUACAGCAAGAUUCCGGUUUAUCUGCACCAAUAAUACAACUGAAUACGAGGCUUGCAUCAUGGGCAUGAACAUGGCCAUUGACCAAGAUGUUGAGGAAUUGCUAAUCAUCGGGGAUUCAGAUUUGAUCAUCCCANNNNNNNNNNNNNNNNNNNNNNNNNNNNNNNNNNNNNNNNNNNNNNNNNNNNNNNNNNNNNNNNNNNNNNNNNNNNNNNNNNCCCGACAGGCUCAAGGAGAGUGGGAAACAAGAGAUGUUAAACUCAUCCCCUAUAGACAACAUGUGGAGGAUCUUAGAAAACGUUUCAGGUCGUUACAAUUUAGGUACAUUCCUCGUUGUCACAAUGAGCUAGCAGAUGCGCUCACAACUCUGCCUUCCAUGUUGCCUUACCCCGGAAACGCUUACGUUGAUCCUUUGGAAAUCCAAAUCAAAGAAAGGCAUGGGCAUUGUAAUGUGACCGAGGCAGAGUCCGGCACCCAGACCUGGUAUCAUGAUCAAGAGAUUUCUGAAAACACAAGAGUAUCCCAAGCAUGCUACAGGGGCAAAAGAAAACAAUUUGACGGCACGUGAGUAAUUUCUUCUUGAGUGGUGAUACUUUAUACAAAAGGACCCCAGAUCUCAACUUGCUGAGAUGUGUUGACACUGAGGAAGCCGGUAGAAUUAUGCAUGAAGUACACGCAGGAGUGUAUGGACCUCAUAUGAAUGGAUAUGUACUAGCAAAAAGAAAAACUUCGGGCAGGAUAAUACUGGAUAACUAUGGAGAAAGACUGCUUCAGCUUCGUACGAAAAUUUCAUCAAUGUCAGGUACAUGGUGAUUUGAUUCAUGCACCACCAACCGAAUUGCAUCCUAUGUCAGCACCCUGGAUAUUCGCUGCCUAGGGCAUGGAUGUCAUUCGGCCGAUUGAGCUAAAAGCCUCGAAUGGACAUAGAUUCAUAUUGGUUGCAAUUCACUACUUCACAAAAUGGGUUGAAGCCAUCACUCUUAAAUCCGUCACCAAGAAAGCUGUGGUAGAUUUUGUGCAUUCCAAUAUCAUUUGUCGUUUUGGGAUUCCCUCAACCAUCAACAAAAUGGGUUGAAGCCAUCACUCUUAAAUCCGUCACCAAGAAAGCUGUGGUAGAUUUUGUGCAUUCCAACAUCAUUUACCGUUUCGGUAUUCGCGUAAUAAUGAUACGACAGCGCAACCAAUAUGAGCAAUCCCCUGAUGGGAGAAAUAUGUGAACAAUUUAAGAUAACACAUAGAAACUCCACCCCUUACCUAUCCAAAGCUAAUGGUUCCGUUGAAGCAGCUAACAAGAACAUUAAGAAAUUUUUGAGAAAAAUGAUUCAAAGCUCAAGAAAAUGGCAUGAAAAGCUGCCUUUUACAUUGCUGGGAUAUCACACUACGGUGUGUACAUCGGUAGGGGCAACUCUGUAUUUAAUGGUCUAUGGGACUGAAGCUGUCAUACCCGUGAAGGUAGAAAUUCCUUCACUCUGAGUAAUCGUUGAAGCAGAAACUAAGGAUAGCGAAUGGGUUAAAACUCGUUUGGAGCAGCUUUCAUUAAUUGAUGAAAAACGAAUGGCUGCGGUUUGUCACGGGAAGUUAUGCAACAAAGAAUGACUCGCGCUUAUAAUAAGAAAGUGCGCCCUAGGAAGUUUGAAGCCGGACAGCGGGUAUUGAGGCGUAUACUCUCUCACCAUCAGGAAGUCAAAGGAAAAUUCGCUCCGAACUGGAAAGGUCCGUAUAUUAUCAGAUAGAUAUUAACCAAAGGAUCAUUGUACCUGGGUGACGUCAAAGGGGAAGAGCCCGGUACAGCCGUAAACACAGAUGCAGUAAAAAAGUAAUACGUUUGAACACUUUGCUGCAACGAUUCUAGUAGGUCAAAAUGACGAAGGCUUUCUUUCUCACUAUCCUAUAUCACUACCAAUCCCUUAAAAACCCCUUGAGCCGAUUGCAUGUCCUUGUUUACCCCUUUUGGAACCCAGAAUUGCUAUUCAAAAAAAAAUGAAUGAUGAAAAAAAAGAGAGAAGAAAAUGAAUGAUUGAAAACAAAAGAAACAACAAACAAAUUAGUUUAGGAAACACUUCGUGAACUGUGUUUGACUUGAUUCCAAAAGGAUACGUAGGCAUCAUCUCUCUGAGGUUCAAUCAUAACAAAAUAAAACUCCAGUUCCCGAAGAAAUAUAAUUUGGGCAGAAAUGUAAUAAAUCGGCCAUAAACCCUCCAGAAUGGUUCCAAAGUUGUAUACAUCCAUCCGACUUCCUUUGCUCAAGAGCCCAAUCCAAGUCUUUCCGAUCAAUUUUCCAAAACAAGGAUGGGUUAAACACUGUUGCUGGGGUUCGGCACAUUUCAAAUUGAGAGAAAUAAAAUGAGAGAGCCUUAUCGGUGAAAACCUUCCGGCACCAUAAGGCGACGGUGAGCAGAGAAAAAUAAAAUUAGAGAGUCUGUUUAGUGAAAACUUGCAAAGAGCAUUAUCGGAUGACGGGAGAAAAUAAAUGAGAGGCCGAUUGGCGAAAACCCGCAAAAGGGCGUCGUCGGCUAAAAAGAGGAAAUAUCACUACCCCAAGCUUGAACAGGUUUCCAUAGUUUUGGAAGAUUGAAAUCAAAAAGCAGAAAUGGAUCUGAGACGGGCAUCUAGUCUAAGAAGCAUGUCUAUUCCAAUUAAAGUCGGCACGCACUCCCAGAUAAGUCCUCCCUUUACCCCAAAAGAGACAUACCUCUCUAAUUCCAUGUGUUUGCUUUUGUUGUUUUUGCCACUCCUUUUCUUUUUAACUUUGAUGUUCUGACCAUUCCUCAAGAGAAGGUAGCAAGACCGGUCUCACGGGUUUUCUCCUGGCAAGAACUAAAAGGAAUAUCUGGUAUCAGUGAGCGCAUUUAGCUAAUCUUGACUGAUCAUGACAGCGGAUGCGUCAAAAAGCAGGAAAGCAGAGAGAAAAGAAAUUCAAAGUCACGAAGGCGAAAAAAGAUCGGAAAGGUUAAGCCCAAGCGGGUUAAUGAUUCCUACAAAAGUUCCCAAAAGAAGAGCGCCGAAGUGGAAUUCGGGACAAAAUCAUAACCAAGGGCCUGUAAAACAAAAAAACAAAUCUGAAAGAUGAGAAUCCCCCGACCAGCCUACGAGGAAAAGAUCGGAAAUUAAGGGUUUCCUCCAACAGAAAUGAGGUUGCAAUCAAUCAAAACAAAGCCACAAACCAAUCAAUGUUCAAAUUAACAAAUUGCUCUAUUUUUGAAUUAAAAUUUGAAACAUGUGUAAUAGAAAAACAAUGGGAACACAUGGCAAAUGCAAUCAAGGAGUAGCACAAGGGCCAAGAAUAGUGUUGCAUCAAAGACCAGCAAAAGGGGAAGGUUAUUUACAUCUUUUCAUGCAGUUUCAUAAAUAAACGUGGUAGCAUGGGACUCCAACCCUUGACUCCUUCCCUGGAUUUAAGGCCAUACCCCUAGCCUUCCCAUGUGCAACUUCUGGACUUCAUUGGCAUAACCCAAGGAUCGCACGCCAUUCUCCCUAGCUCAGACCAAGAAAUUUCUUUAUUUUACUCCCCGGCAUAAUCUGGGGGUUUCUCUUUAUAUCCCCUGCAUAAUCUAGGGAGCCAUUUCCUCUUCCUGCCCCAGCAUAAUCUGAGGACCCCCAUUUCCACCUUUAUUCCCCAGCAUAGUCUAAGAGAUAAAGCUCUUCUUUCCUUAGCAUAACUUAAGGGUCUUUCCUUCCUUUCUUUAUACCCAACAUGGUCAAAAGGAUCUCUGUCGCAUUUCACUUCCUUCAAUCCCCUGGCAAAACCCAGGAGUUUUUCUUUCAAUCCCGGCAUAACCCGCGGAUUCCCCUGGCAUAACCUAGGAGUUUUUUUUCCAUCCCGGCAUAACCCGUGGAUCUCCCUAGCAUAACAUAGGAGUUUUUCAUUCAAUCCCGACAUAGCCCGUGGAACUCCCUAACAUAACCUAGGAGUUUUUCUUUCAAUCCAGCAUAACCCGCGGAUUCCCCUGGCAUAACCCAGGAGUUUUUAUUUCAAUCCCAGCAUAACCCGCGGAUUCCCCUCGCAUAACCCAUGAAUUUUCCAUUCAAUCUCGGCAUAACCCGCGGAUUCCCCUAGCAUUAUCCAGGAGCUUUUCUUUCAAUCCUGACAUAACUCGUGGAUCUCCCUAGCAUAACCUAGGAGUUUUUCUUUCAAACCCGGCAUAACCCGCGGAUUCCCUUGGCAUAACCCAUGAAUUUUCCAUUCAAUUCCGGCAUAACCCGUGGACCUCCCUAGCAUAACCUAGUAGUUUUUCUUUCAAUCCCGGCAUAACCCGCUGAUUCCCCUUGCAUAGCCCAGGAAUUUUCCAUUCAAUCCCGACAUAACCCGUGGACCUCCCUAGCACAACCUAGAAGUUUUCCUUUCAAUCCUGGAAUAACUCGCGAAUCUCCCUAACAUAACCUUGGAGCUUUUCUUUCAAUCCCGGCAUGACCUAUGUAUUCCUCUGCAUAACCAACGAAUUUUCCAUUCAAUCUUGGCAUAACCCAGGAAGUUUUUUUUCAUUACAUCUCGUCAUAACCCGUGGAUUUUUCCUUUCAUCCACAGUAAGGACCCCUCAUUCCUAUGCUGGCAUAACCCGUGGAUCCUCAUCUUACCCCCAGCAGGGACCCUUCAUUCCUAUCCCGGCAUAACCCAUGGAUACUCCUCUUAUCCCUCGCAGGGACCCUUUCUCCUUCCUAGGAUAACUUGACAAUCAUUCCAAAGGAUACAAAAUCCUGACUUUUAUUGUUUGCAAUAUAUAUAUAGCUUAGAUUAGUGUUUCAAAUAACUCACAAAAGUUUUCCGGUGAAAAAUGGGCAAAAAAUUUCGUGCGUUGGUUUGUUUUAAUGUCCGAGCAGGUUUUACUUCAAGGCACAGGAUUCGAGAUAAACGAAAGAUUGAGUCUCAAUCAAGAAUAAGGAAAAGAGGAAAAGAAUAAAAAGAAGUGAAUCUAAAAUGAUGAAGAGGACAUAGAUGCAGACUGCUCAAAAUUUGAUUGAAAUCACAAGCUCCGCCUAUCCCGCUUUGUUUCAAAAUCGAAGAAUAAACCAGCGGUUGCAGCUAAGGAGCAUUAGGAUUCAGAUCGGAGUCUGCUACUAGAGCUAGCCAAGACUCAAGAUCAAGUUACAAGAGACUCAUUGAUAGGAAUCUUGUAACUCGUAGUUCAUAGGCCUAGCUAACUUAGCUGUUGAUUUUCUUUUUGUUUAAUAAGGAGUCAGUAAGCAGUAGCAGCAGCAACAACAGUGAAAUCAUAGCCCAUGGUAGUACCAGCUACUAAACAUUCCAGAACUAAAAUGACCUGAUUCCUUUAUCGCCAAGGAUAUGUAGGCAACCUUUGAAGCAAGGUUCGGUCAGACAUCUUUUCGAAAUGCUUCUCCUGGAGUUUUGAGUAGGCAAAAAUCCUAAGUUCCCUCAUCUGAGAAAUAUGUGAACAAUUUAUUUGAAGCAAGGUUCGGUCAGACAUCUUUUCAAAAUGCUUCUCCUGGAGUUUUGAUUAGGCAAAAAUCCUACAUAGCGCUCAUUUAUCUUUGACCGAAAACCCUUCGUGUUUCCGGACAAAGAGGGGCAGCUGUGAGCACGUGAUUUUUGCCUCGUUAAAAUUACUCCUACAGAAUUCUCAAACAUAGGAUUUCUCCUUUUUAUUAUUUAUUAUUAGGAUUUAAUUGCGAUAUUAGUGUGUAUUUUCAUUAGUGCAUGCAUGACAAGUCAUAAAAAAUAUAAAAAAAUUACAUAAGCAUUUAGGAUGUGAUUUCACAUAUUUUUGUUAGAAUUAAUUGGUAAUUAAUGUUUCAUUUUGCGAAAUUUAAAAAUCACAAAAAUAAGUAGUUUAUAUUAACGUUAUUUAAUUUGUAGCUUCAAAAUUGUUAAUUUUCAUAUUUGUUUAGUUUAGGUGGUUGUUAGCCUAAUCUAGUUGAAUUUAGUCUAAUAAGAAUUUAAAAAUAAAAUUAGGAAUUUUAAAAAAUAAAAAGGAAAAAAGAAGUAGGAAGUAAAGUGAAUUAAAAUAGGCUGGCCACAAUUGGGCAAAGUCUGGGUGGCCCAAAUCCCCCUUACCCGUGUAAAAAAACCCAAAACUGGCCCAAACCCAUCUCUGACCUAAGUUGAUGUGAGAGACGCCCCAAAACGACGUCGUUUUGGGGCUAUUAAUCUCAACCAUUCUUCAACAAUGAUCCAACGGUCUGGGUUCGAUGAGAUCAUUGCAUAAAAAGGUCUGAAUCUGACCAAAUACUAUAGACAUACACUUUCUUCCUCGUACCUUCCAUCUCCAUCGAUACACCACCGUAUAACCGUCAGCUAUAAAUCGUCUCCACCGGCGGCAGAGCUCUGAUACCGCCCAAAAAUACACCACCGACUCAUCGUGUCCUCCUCUUUCCGAUGUCCUAAUAAACAACCCUCAAAUGUGAGCCAAUAGUCUCGAAUAUUAGGAUCUUUGGGCACCGCCUCCGCCGUCGCCGGAACCCUUCCAAAAUAACAACAUAUGUUCCUUACCCCAUCCCCAUAACGAAUCCAUGGUCAUAUUCCUCCAAACCCCUACCCAUCGCUUCGAAUAUUAAAUCAAAACACUGACCAAAACUCCAACCCCACCAGAAUCCUUUGAAAAUGAUGCUAGGUGACUUCCUCACCUUCCCCUCAACAAAUCCACAACCAACAGCCUUCAAAUACAACCAGAACCUGGCCAAAAAUCAGAUCAAAAAAUGAUUUGAAACACAGACCCACCCCAAACUGACCAACCCUACACCUGAUACUCUCCACCCUCUCAAAUGAUGGCACAAGGGUACGAAAAGGCCGAAGACCCUCCCAGAAAUGGUCGAAAACCAUGAGGCGUGAAAGGUCCAAAUUUUUAGGGUUGUAGUGUUAAGCUAAGUACCCUGUCUUCUUUUGAUUGCUUUUAACUUCUCUUUGUUUUCGUUUGUGUAAGUACAUGAAUUUUCUAUUUUCUCAUAUGUGAAAAAUUCUGAUUAGUUUCUUUGUUUCCAUUCAGAAUCAUAUGCUUUUUGUUUAAGUCUUGAUAACAUGUUCUGAAUGGUCCUCUUACCUAUUGAAGUAAUAGAUGCUCCUUGAUUAAUUUGAAUUAUCAUGCUAAGCUCAAAAUUGUUCAUCUCUGGUUUAACUUUCCCGUUUUGUUUCAAUUUGAUCAAUGUUCAGUUAUGAUAAACUUUAUGUUUGUUUCUGAAGUUUGUCUUGUUUGCUCUAUCUUUGCUUAUGAUCAAUUCAGUCCAAUAUUUUGGUACUUGUCUAAAUCCGCCUGUAUAUAUGUGUAUCAUUGACCUAUUACUUAUCAAUUUUUGACCAUUUUUUUUGCUUUUAAUAGUGCAGUGUACUCUUCAAUUUGAUAAUUAGUUAUGCCCGGUGUUUUUUAAAUUUUGACCAUAUUUUGUUUGCUUUUAAUAGUAUAGCGUAGUCUUUAAUUAGAUAUUUAGUUAUGCCCAGCUCUCUUUAAAACUCGACCUCAACCGAUAAUGAAACCCUGGUUCAUGGCCUUGCAUAGUUAACUAGGGUCACUUACUGACCAAACGGAUAGGCACCAGGGUAAAAACAUUUAGGCCAGUAAUUAAGAAGGAAAUACAGGGGUAACAGGGGUAUUUAGGGCAUAAGAAUCUUGUUACAAACCCCUGGAACCUUCUAGUGGAGGUUUGUAAUGCAAUUUCUGUUAAUUCUUUCUCAAAUCUUGAGGCACAAGUUAAAAAACAAGGGAUCAAUUAAUAAAAUCUGAGAAUGGGGAAGGGUCUAAUAAGAAGACAAGAAGAAAUUGUUGCCCUAAGGCCUUGUCUAUAAAAGGGUUUCCUAUCGUUUUAGAAAGGGGGAUUUCUUUUUAAGAUAAGAGGUCGAGAACACCAUCUGAAAACAAAUCCCCUGAAAUAUACAAAAAAUUUUCUGGCAAAAACCUUCUAAAAUAACCAGAAUUCUGUUUAUUGUCAGAAGAAGAGGGCUUGAGGCAUAUGCAUUUUAGGGCGUUAGAGUUUCCAAGAGCUACUUGAGUCAGUGAUCUUAGGCUGGUUUGCUUUGUUCAAGCUAUAGGAUCGAAUCUUGUGCUAUUGUUGAUCUUUAAAAGCCUUCCUGUAUUUCCUGACACUCCUGGGUCUUAAUUGAUUGAUCUGCUGCUGUUUGUUGCUCCUCACAUACCUUACUCAUAUGCGUUUCUUUUUUGCUUUAAUUCCAGGUACCUACUCUCACUCAGGAAAAUCUGGAAAUAUACAGCGGUAUAUAUGCAUAGUCAUAUUUGAUAAUGAAGACAUUUAUAUUUUUAUGUUAAUGUUGUAAUAUAAGUGUUACUAGUUUAGUAGUAUUUAGGAUAUUUAUCUUAUCUUUGGUGCUGUAAUAUGUAUGAACAUCUAAACUAUGCCUGACUGUAUUUGGAUAGUGAACUUUAAUUUGUUUAAAUUUCAGUAGGUUUACAAUAUGGUAGUCAAUAACCUGCCUAAAUUUCAUGUUUGACUUGGUAAUAGGGAGUCAUUAUAUGUAUAUGUACUCUGAUUGAUGAGUACAUUAGUUUUAGAUGCUAAAUUCGAAACCAGAAGUUGUGGCUUAUUGAUUUACUAACAUGAAAAAUCACUACUGGGAUUUCUUUCUUUCAAAUGUCUUUAAUAUGUUAAAUAAUCACAUCAACAGCUGCAGUGCAGCGACUUGGGAAAUGCCAUCCUUUCCUUAUGAAUAAUUCGUAAUAGCAAAUUUCUGGGCUCAAUGGAAGGGCCCAAUUAUUAUGAAAUGUGAUGAAUGUACUUUUGGGAUAUCUAUUUUCAUUGAUGAAGGCCAAUUGCAGAAAUCCGUUAUACAAAUGCUAAACAUAUGCAUAUUAAUUGUUUCAUUUGAACAAACCAUUAAGAUAUGAAUUAAUUAUGACUUCUUUUUAUUUUUUAUUUUUUAGAGACACGUAUAACAGAAAAUUAUAGUUUCUUUAGGUUGCCUUUUCUCAAAGAAAAUAAAAUGAGUGUGCCACGCUAAAGAGAAUCAUACGCUGCGUGACCCUUUAAUUGAAAUAAAAUACUUAGAAAUUUGGGAGAUACCGCUUAGUGAAUUUCACGGUUUUUCCAUGAAGUUAAAAACGCGUAGUUGCUUUAGGCGCGUUGUUUUAAAAAUGUGUCUUCCUAAAUUCGAGUGCGCAUUUACGUGACAGAAAUACAAGUUUCAAUGGCGUUAAAUUGUGUCAAGAACCCGGGUGCAUUUAUGUGACGUGGUUCGAGACGUGUUUUAAUAACGUUGCAAAUAUUCCUAAAAAUGAAUAAAGCGGUUAAUAAUUUGAAAAUUGCACUGUAGGAUAAGCAUGUAUAAAAAUUCAAGAAAUUGGCCAUUUAUAAUUGUCUAAGUGACCGUGCUAGAACCACGGAAUCCGAGGGUGCCUAACACCUUCCCUCAGAUUAACAGAAUUCCUUAAGAAUUUCUGGUUCGCAAACUCCAAUUGGGUAGUCAAAAAAUUUCCUAGAUUUGGGAUCUUUAAUAAACAGGUGACUAGGGAAACCAAAGGCCAAACCUAUCCCAAGUGGCGACUCUAUAAAUAAAUAAACCCAUUUUGAAUAAAUGUAACUUUAAUUGGAAAAACUCCCUAAUAUGUUUAUCCUUCGGGGUAGCCGUGUGAAAAAGGAUGUGUGACACCGAUCCUACAAUAUAAAUCAAUACUCGGCUCUCGGCAUCACUCAGACAAUAGUCUCCAGUCUCAUACAGAUAGGUUAAGAUGUAAUCAUGCAAGCCCGAACAAUGAUAUGAUAUGUCACAUAGAAAUAACCGAUACUGAGGCAUGAUAUAGUAUGCAUGAACAUGACUGAGUAUAGAGUAUACUUGAAUCUAAUUACAUGAUAGCAAGAAAAAACCUCUUGGGUAUCAACAGUGUCAGUAUGAAGCCUUAACAUGAUCAUUAACAUGAUUUACAGCUCAACAGCAAGAUCUAAUAAUCAUAGAACAUAUAUCGAUAAUAACUAACCACUAAGUGGCAUUCUUGAAUGAUUCAGGCCGCACUUCUCACGUUGUAGGCUCAUACGCCUGUCACUUGGCAUAACGUCACCUUCAUAGAAAUCAUUGAACACAUAUAUUGGAGUUUCCAACCAGCAGUACCAAGGUAGAAAGCGUUACUUACCUCAAGCCAAGCUAAAAUAUUAAUCUGUGAUGCGUUUUCCACUCGAAUCAACCUCCAAUUACCUCGAAUUUAAUCAAAAUCAGUAUAUAACCAUAAACAUAUGCCAAGGGAACAAAGUCUACUCGAAAGUAAUUGAAGUACAACACCUGAAAUUAACAAAACCUGACCCUCAAGCCCACGUCUCGGAAUUGAAUAAAAUUUACAUAAAUAGACUCCAUAUCUCCCCACAAGUCCAUACAUUUAAAAAGUAUUAAAAUCUUGCCACAAAUGACCCCUCAAAUCCUUGCUCAAAGGUCUCCAAUCUCAAGCCCUAGUUUCCCAAUUUUAACCCUUAAUUUCCAUUAAUUUUCAAGUCAAAUAAGUGAAAUAACACCUUAGAAACGAGAUUUAGGUGGAAAAACCCUACCUCUAUGAAAUCUCCUUGAAAUCCCUCUUCAAAUAGCUCCCUCAACCCCGAAUGGAAAUGUUGAAGAACAACUAAAAAAACACAUACCUUCUAACCCAGACUUUUCGCACCUAUGGUCCAAAUCCCGCUCCCGUGACCCCACUUUUGUGGUCUUAACCACUGCACCUGCAAUUUUCACUUAAAUCCCCAAAGUUAUAUCUGCGAUCAAAUAAUUGCACAUGCGCCAUAGCAGGUGCAUUCAGCACUCCACAUCAGCGGCUCAUUCCCUUCACAUCCUUGACCGCAUCUGUGGUCCUUUCAUCACACCUGCAGUGUCGCACCUGCGGUCCCCAAUAAGUAGGUGUAUAAAUAUCAGAAGCAGAAAAUUCUGCAACUUCUCCAAAACAUCAAACUCUUCAUCAACAGUCCGAAAUCACCCCGAGACCUCAACCAAAAACACCAUCAAGAAAAGAAAUCUCCUAAAAACCAAAAUUAGAAUAAAAAUGAAAAUUAAACUAUCUUUGAAUUUCCUUUUUUCAUAAAAAUGAUGUAAUUACUUAGUAAUUCUUAAAAAUGCAAAAUGACUCCUAUAUGCACAUGCCAUAUAUUUUGUAUUUUUCACUAAUUAAGAUAAAAAAAAUAUGCACAAAAAAAUGCAAACCAUUGAUAGAAAAUGCCACGAAAAUCAAAAUUGCAAACAAACAAAAGAAGUUAUUUUAUUUUGAAUUUAUAGGAGUAAAUUGCGUAGGGCAAAAAACACAUGCUCACAGUGGUUAUCGUGGAACUAGGCCAGCCACUUAUUUUCUUUUACCCAUUUUAUCCAAUUUUACUUAAAAUAACAUCACUUUUAAAUGCAUAAUUUAAUAAUAAUAAUAAAAAUGUCAAAACAACGGAAUGAAACACAAAUCCUGACCUUGGGUUUCACUAGUCAUGAGCAAAACCAAUAGGAUUGUCUAAAAUACAAAUCUAGAAUAUUCUGAAUACAUCCAAUAAUAAAAACUAGAGGAAGAUAUGGAAGGAAAAGGCGGAACUACGGUCACCAAGCAGCUACCUCGCAAUCUUCGAUGAAGUGCGCAUAUUAAAGAUCACCAACCGAUAUUGUUCCCUGAGAUACUUGGGUCUGCGCACAGAGGUGCAGGGGGUAGCGUGAGUACACCAACUCAUAAGUAAUAACCCAAACCUAUGGACUGAUAGGUAGUGACAGACCAAACCUCAAUAGGCAAUUUAGCAGUUAACGGAACAUAAAUGUUGACAUGUUUACAGUUCAAAUAAAACUCAACAGUAAUAGAAACAAGUGAUCAAUAAUAAGUUCAAUACUUAGAGAUUACGUAUACGUACCAAUGCACAACUAGAAUGAUCAAUGUUCCCAGAAACUCCACUAAUAAGUAAUCAACCACUCGGUACUGUAUAUGGCCAUCCGACCCAGGGAAGUUCAAUCCGAAAUAUACAUCACUAACUGUAGUCAUCCAGUACCAAGGACACAUGCCAAUCAUGCCUCACAGAAAAUAUCCAUCUCCCCGUAUAAUGCUUCGGACAAAUCCAUGUCCAGGGAAAUUCAUCGCUCAGUAUGGUACUUCGGACAAAUCCAUCCCUUAGUAUAAUACAUCAGACAAAUCCUUCUCCAGGGAAAUGACCAAAAAAUUUCCAUGGAAAUGAACCUUUAGCGACGGAUAGGCAAAAAUGUAAGGAUAAAAAAUUGUCACUUCCUUCAUUUUGUUUUGGAUUUUCGAAGCAUGGUUCUGGGGCGAUUUUUGUGGGAAAACAUUGGGGUUUGUGUUCCUUAUCCUAUUGAUUAUAUUUCAUGAUUCCAUACUCACUUACAUCAUGAGUUUGUGAAUUUAUGGAAGAAAAAUCAAAUUUUUAUAAAAUCUUCAAAAACAAAAAUUUUAGAUUUGAAAGCCAAUCUGAUGUUCCAUAUACUAUAUUGAUUAGAAACGGAUAGAAACUUAAGGACUAAAAAUUGUCAUUUCCUUCAUUUCGUUUUGGAUUUUUGGAGCACGAUUCUUGGGCUAUUUUUUGGCGAUUUUCAAUGGAAAACAAUUGGAUAGGUGUUCCAUAUCCUCUAUUGAUUAUAUUUUAUGAUUCCUACUCAUUUAAAUCAUUAAUCCAUGAAUUAAUGGAAAAAUUAGAUUUUUAUAAAAUCUUCAAAAAAUAAAAAUAUAAGAUUUGAAAGUUAGUCUAGUGUGAAAAUUUGAUAAUUUUUUUUGUUGAACUCGUAUCAGAAAGGGUGUUCAGAUUUCGUUAGUUUUGCCAAAUGAGGAAAGAGUCGUCUUUGACCUCGACUUGAGGAAAUAUAAUCCUUAAACAUUUGUUAUGUAAAUUCUCUGUGUACAACAUAAAGGCAAGGAGAUAAUUGGUAUCAAAGUUGUUCACCAAAAACUUCUGGUUUGUGAAGACAACAUUGAAGUCUUAUAUCUCACAAUCUGUGAGGAAUCAUAAAAUUAUAAAAACACAAAAGUUUUGGCACUUUGAUUCUAGUUUCCGAAAAUUUAAACCAUUCAUCAUAUGGAUAUUUGUACACAAAGUUAUGACGGAUUGCAUUAAGGAUGAUAAAGUAAUUUCGCUAGAAAUUUCUGAUGCGUGACUUUGGAAGCUUAUAUUUCGCAAUCCAUAAGGAAUAAAAAAGUUGUCGAGACAUAAAAGUUGUGGCCCUUUGAUUCUAGUUUCCAUAAAAGUUAAUAUAUUCAUCAUUUAAACAUUUGUACAUAAAGUUAUGAUCAAUUGAAUAAAGGCUUGUGUAAGCACGUUUUGAUGUGAAUUUUUAGUGACAGACAUGGACCUUUAGUGACGGAUGGACAGAAACAUAAGGACCAAAAAUUGUCAUUUCCUUCAUUUCAUUUUGGAUUUUUCGAGCAAAAUUCUUGGGCUAUUUUUGUGGGUAAAGAUUGUUGUAUGUGUCCCUUAUCCUAUAUCAAUUAUAUUUCAUGAUUCCAUAUUCUUUUACAUCAUGAAUCCGUUAAUUUAUGGAAGAAAAAUAAGAAUUUAAUAAAAUCUUCCAGAAAUAAAAAUUUAAGAUUUGAAAGUAAAUAUGAUGUCUGAAUUUAAUAAAUUUUGUACCGUAAACUCAUGUCGGAACGGGUGUUCGGAUUUCAUGAGUCUUUUUAGAAUUCGAGCAAUUUAAUAAAUUUUGUACCGUGAACUCGUGUCGGAACGGGUGUUCGGAUUUCAUGAGUCUUUUUAGAAUUCGAUACAUGCGUUCCACUAUCAUAUGUUUAAUUAAUUUGUAAUUUUAGUCAAGAAAAUUAGUAAAUUUAUGUGGAAUUAAAUUUCAUGAUUUAUAUUGAGUAUAUCGAAUUGUUUAUCUCUAUAUUUGAGGCUUUCAAAUACAGAUUUACGAUAUAGAAAUUUAUUGGAAUCUUGAAUUUGGUUGCGAAGGAAGGCAAGUAUCAUAGUUAACCUUGAAUUGAGGCAAUAAAACCCUUGAAUUAUUUGUUAUUUGAAUUCCAUGUGUACGAUAUAAAGGAAAAGUGGUAGUUGGUAUCAGAGCAAUUCGCUAGAAAUUUCUAGUGUAUGGAGCCAACUUUGGAAGUUUAUAUAUCUCAAUCCCUAUGGGAUCUGAAGAUUAUCAAAAACAUGAAAGUUAUAGCCCUUUGGUUCUAUGUUCCGGAAAGUUAAAUCAUUCAUCAUUUAGAAAUUUGUACAUAAUAUUAUGAUGGAAUGAAAGAAGCUGGUAAAUAAAUUUUUCUAUAAAUUUUUUAUGUGUGUAGUCGGCUUUGGAAGCUUAUAUCUCGUAAUUUAUAAAGAAUCAGAAAAUUAUCAAAACAUGAAAGUUGUGGCCCUUUGAUUCUCGUGUUCAGAAAAUUAAACCAUUAAUCAUUUAAUGUUAGUACAUAAAGUUAUGAUAGACUGAAAGAAGGCUGUUGCAUACAAGUUACAGUGUGGAUUUUUGGUGACUGAAAAUUGACUUUUAGUAAUGGAAAAUGGACUUUUUAGCGACGGACGGGCAGAAACUUAAUGACCAAAAAUUUACAUUGCUCUCAUUUCAUUUUGGAUUUUAAGAGGACGAUUCAUGGGCGAUUUUCAAGGGAAAACAAUUGGGUACGUGCUCAUGUUUCCUAUAUUGAUUAUAUUUUAUGAUUCCAUACUCAUUUAAAUCAAAAAUCCCUGAAUUCAUGGACAAAAAUCAGAUUUUUAUAGAAUCUUCCAAAAAUGAAAAUAUAAGAUUUGAAAGUCAACCUAGUGUCGGAAUUCGAUAAUUUUUUUUGUUGAAAUCGUAUCAAAAGGGUGUUAAUUUCGUGAGUUUUGCCGAGUGAGGCAAGUGUCGUGGUUAACCUUGAGUUGAGGGAAUAUAAUCCUCGAACAUUUGAUAUGUGAAUUCUAUGUGUACAAUGUAAAGGUAAUAAAACAAGUGGUAUCAGAGCUACUCGCCAAAAUUUCUGGUUAUGGAGACAACUUUAAAAUCUUAAAUCUCGCAAUCUAUAAGGGAUCUUAAAUUAUCAAAGCCUUAAAGUUAUAACACUUUGAUUCUAGUUUUCAAAAACUUAAACCAUUCAUCAUUUGAAUAUUUUCACGACAAAUUAUGAUAGAUUGAAUUAAGGCUUGUAAAGUAGUUUCACUAGAAAUUUCUGAAGCGUGAAGCCUACUUUUGAAGCUUAUAUCUCGCAAUCCAUAAGGAAUCGAAAAAUUAUCAAAACAUUAAAGUUAUAGCCCUUUGAUUCUAGCUUUCAUAAAGUUAAUAUAUUCAUCAUUUAAAUAUUUUUGCAUAAAGUCACGAUCAAUUGAAUAAAGGCUGGUGCAAGCACGUUUUCAUGUGGAUUUUUAGUGACGGGCAUGGACCUUUAGUGAUGGAUGGACAAAAACGUAAGGACCAAUAAAGGUCAUUUCCUUCAUUUUAUUUUUGAUAUUUGGAGCACGGUUCUUGGGCAAUUUGUCUAAAAAAUAUUGAGGUAUGUGUCCCUUAUCCUGUAUUGAUUAUAUUUCAUGAUUUCAUUCUAAUUUACAUCAUGAAUCCGUUAAUUUAUGGAAGAAAUAAGAUCUUUAUAAAAUCUUCCAAAAAUUAAAAUAUAUGAUUUCAAAGUAAACCUAAUGUCUAAAUUCGAUAAAAUUUGUACCAUGAACUCGUAUCGGAACGGGUGUUCGGAUUACAUGAGUCUUUUUAGAAUUCGAGAUAUGGGUUCCACUAAUAAUUUUUUAGUGAAUUUUUAAUUUUACUUCAAAAAAUUAGUAACUUUAUAUGGAAAUAAAUUUCACAAUUUGUAUUUAGUAUAUUAAAUUGUUUAUCACUUUAUUUGAGGCUUUCAAAUACAGAUUAGUAAAAGUCUAUUCGAAUCUUGAAUUUGGUUGUGAAUUGAGGUAAGUAUCAUAGUUAACCUUGAAUUGAGGUUAUAGAACCCUUGAAUUAUUUGUUAUAUUAAUUCUAUAUGUACGAUGUGUAAGCAAAGUGACUGUUGGUAUCCAAGCCGUUCGCCAGAAUUUCUAGUGCAUGGAGCAUAUUUUGGAACCUUAUAUCUCACAAUCCAUAUGGAAUUAGAAGAUUAUUAACCUAAAAGUAAUAGACCUUUGAUUUUACAGUCUAGAAAGUUAAAUCAUUCAUAAUUUGGACAUUUGUACAAAAAGUUAUGAUAGAUUGAAAGAAGAUUGUAAAGCAGUUUUGCCAGAAAUUUUUUAUGCGUGGAGCCGACUUUGGAAAGUUAUAUCUCGUAAUUCAUAAGGAGUCAGAAAAUAUCACAACAUGAAAGUUGUAGCUCUUUGAUUCUAGUUUUCAGAAAGUUAAAUCAUUUAAACAUUUCUACGUAAUGCUAUGAUCGACUGAAUGAAGGCUGGUGCAAGCAAGUUCCGGUGUGGACUUCUAGUGAUGGAAAAUGGACUUUUAGUGAUGGAAAAUAGACUUUUAGAGACGUGUUGGCAUAAACUUAAGGACCAAAAUUUUCAUUUCCUUCAUUUCAUUUUGGGUUUUUGGAGCACAAUUCUUGGGUGAUUUUCAAGGGAAAACAACUGGGUAAGUAUUCCUUAUCCUAUUUUAUUUUGUGAUUCCAUACUCAUUUACAUCAUGAAUUUGUGAAUUCAUGGAAAAAAACUAUAUUGUUAUAAAAUCUUCCAAAAAUGAAAAUAUAAGAUUUGAAAGUCAAUCUAGUGUCAGAAUUCGAUAUUUUUUGUUUGGUUGAACCCGUAUCGGAAUGGGUGUUCGGAUUUCGUGAGUUUUGGCGAGUGAGACAAGUGUCGUGGUUAACCUUUACUUGAGGAAAUAUAACCCUUGAACUUUUUUGUGUGAAUUCUAUUUGUACAAUGUAAAGACAAGGAGACAGUUGGUAUGAGAGAUGUUCACCAGAAAUUUCUGGUACGUGGAGGCAACUUUAAAAUCUUAUAUCUCGCAAUCUAUAACAAAUAUUAAAAUUAUCAAAACAAUCUAUUACAAAUCUUAAAAUUAUCAAAACAUAAAAGUUAUAGCACUUUGAUUCUAGAUUUUGUAAAGUCAAACCUUUUAUCAUUUGGAGAUUUGUACGGAAUGUUAUGAUAGAUAUAAUUAAGGCUAGUAAAGAAGUUCCGGUAGAAAUUUCUGAGGCGUGAAGUCGACUUUGGAAGCAGAUAUCUCGAAUCCAUAAUGAAUCAGAAAAUUAUAAAAACAUAAACAUUGUAGACUUUUGGUUCUAGUUUGCAUAAAGUAAAUGUAUUCAUCAUUUAAAUAUUUGUACAUGAAUGAUCGAUUGAAUAAAGACUGGUCCACGCACGUUCUAAUGUAGAGGACAUGGACCUUUAGUAACAGAUAGACAGAAUCGUAAGGACCAAAAGUGGUCAUUUCCUUCAUUUCAUUUUGGAUUUUUGGGGCACAGUUCUUGGGCAAUUUUUGCGGAAAAAUAUUGGUGUAUGUGUCCCAUAUCCUAUAUUGAUUAUAUUUCAUGAUUCUAUACUCAUUUGCAUCAUGAUUUCGUUAAUUUAAGGAAGAAUAAUAAAAUAUUUUUAUAAGAUAUUCAAAAAAUAAAAGCCUAAGAUUUCAAACUAAAUCCAAUCUCUAUAUUCGAUAAAUUUUGUACUGUGAACUCGUAUCGGAAUGAGUGUUUGGAUUUCAUGAGUCUUUUUAAAUUUAGAGACAUGGGUUCCACUGUCAAAUUUUUAAUGAAUUUUGCAUCUAAUUCGGAAAAUUAGUAAAUUUAUAUGGAAUUAAAUUUCACCAUUUGUAUUGAGUAUAUCAAAUUGUUUAUCACUAUAUUUGAGGCUUUCAAACAUAGAUUCGUGAAAAAAAAAGUUUAUUCGAAUCUUUGAUUUGAUUGCGAUGCGAGGUAAGCAUCUUAGCUAACAUUGAAUUGAGGUAAUUGAACCCUUGAAUUAUUUUUUAUCUGAAUUCCAUGUGUACAAUGCAUAGGCAUAGUGACAGUUGGUAUCGGAGUUGUUCACCAAAAAUUUCUAGUGGAUGAAGCCAACAUUGGAAGCUUAUAUCCCGCAAUUCAUAAGCAAUUUGAAAAUUAUCAAAACAUGAAAGUCAUAGUCCUUUGAUUCUACAAUCCAGAAAGUUAAAUCAGUCAUCAUUUGGAUAUUUGUACAGAAUGUUAUGAUGAAUUGAAACAAGGUUUGUAAAGAAAUUCGCCGGAAAUUUCUAAUGCGUGGAGCCGACUUUGGAAGCUUAUAUCUUGCAAUCCAUAAGGAAUUACAAAAUUAUCAAAAUACAAAAGUUGUAUCCCUUUGAUUCUAGUUUUCAAACAGUUAGCGAUUAAUCAUUUAAACAUUUGUACAUAAUGUUAUGAUUGAUUGAAUGAAGACUGGUGCAAGCAAGUUCUGUGGACUUUUAGUGACAAAAAAUGGACAUUUAGCGACAGAUCGGUAGAAGCUUAAUGACAAUAAAUUAUUGUGUCCUUCAUUUUGUUUUGGGUUUUUGGAGCACGAUGGUUGAUUAUUGGACCAUUUUCAUAGGAAAACAGUUUUGUAACUGUUCUUUAUCCUAUAUUGAUAAUAGUUUUAUGAUUCCAUAAUCAUUUACAUCAUAUAUCAACAACAACGGCCCAGUAUAAUCCCAUAAGUUGGGUCUGGGGAGGGUAAUAUAUACGCAGACCUUACCCCUACCCCGAGGGGCAGAGACGCUAUUUUCGUAGACCCUCGACUCAGCAAAGAAACAAGAGACGAUAUAUUUUUUACCACCAAUAGGAUCAUAAUAAAAUAACAUCAAUAUAAGAAAUACACAAUAUGUGGAAUAGAUAGGUAUAAAAAUAACCAGCAGAUAAAACCCCACAUCAGUAGAUAACCAGUAGCAUCCUAAGACUAACUCCUAACUAGCUAGUCUCACUAUUGUGCGCUGUAGAAAUAUUCACAACUUCCCCCUAUACUACAACCUUGAUGCUCUACCUCCACAACUCCAUGUCAAGGGCCGUGUCCUCGGUAAUCUUAAGUCGUGCCAUGUCCUUCCUGAUCACCUCUCCCGAAUACUUCUUAGGUCGCCCUCUACCUCUCCUUGUGCCCACCACAAUCAGUCGCUCACAUAUCCUUAUCGGUUCAUCAGUGCUCUGCCUCUGAAUAUGUCCGAACCAUCUGAGUCUUGCUUCCCGCAUCUUGUCCUCCAUAGGGGCCACGCCCACCUUUUUUCAAAUGUAUUCAUUCCUAAUCUUAUCCAUCCUUGUAUGCCUGCACAUCCACCUCAACAUCCUUGUCUGUGCUACUUUCAUCUUCUGGAUGUGUGAGUUCUUGACCAGCUAACAAUCAUUCUCAUACAACAUGGCAUGCCUAACCAGUGCUCUAUAAAACAUACCUUUUAGUAGCGGUGUCACUUUCUUGUCACAUAGAACUCCCUAUGCUAACCUCCACUUCAUCCACUCAACCCCUAUACGAUGUGUGACAUCCUCAUCGAUCUCCCCGAUCUCCUGAAUAACCGACCCAAGGUACUUGAAACUACCCCUCUUGGGAAUGAGUUGAGACUCAAGCCUCAUGUCCACUCUUGCUUCCAUCGGCUCGACCCCUAAUUUGCACCCCUAAUCAUAUACAUCAUGAAUACAUGAAUUUAUGGAAGAUAUUUAUAUUUUAAUAAAAUAUUCAAACGAUAGAAAUGUAAGAUUUUGUGAAUUCCAUUUAGGUAAGUGUUGUGGUUAAACAUGACUUGAGGGAAUAGAACCUUUGAAUUAUUUGCUAUGUUAAUUACUUGUGUAUAACAUAUAGGCAAGGUGACAGUUGGUAUCAUAGAUGUUUGCUAGAAAUUUCUGGUGCAUGGAGUCAACUUUGGAAGCUUGUAUCUCGCAACGCAUAAGGAAUCUUAAAGUUAUCAAAACAUGAAAUUCGUAGCCCUUUGAUACUACUUUCUAGAAAGGUAAAUUGUUCAUCAUUUGGACCAUUUUACCGAAAGUUAGUAUGCAUUGAAAGAAGUCUAGUAAAGCAGUUUCACUAGAAAUUUCUAAUGCAUGGAGCUGGUGGAAGCUUAUAUCUCGUAAUCCAUAAGGAAUCAGAAAAUUAUCAAAACAUGAAAGUUGUAACCCUUUGAUUCUAGUUUAACAUUUGUACAUAAAGUUAUGAUUGACUGAAUGAAGUAUGGUGCAAUCAAGUUCUUGUGCGGUCUUUUAGUGACUAAAAAUGGACUUUUAGUGACGGGUGAGCAGAAACUCAAGGACACAAAAUUGUCAUUUCCUUCAUUCGUAUUGGAUUUUUGGAGAAUAUUUCUUGGGCCAUUUUUGGGCCAUUUUCACGAGAAAAAGAAUAGGGUAAGUGUUCCUUAUACUAUAUUGAUUAUAUAUUAUGAUUCCAUAAAUAUUUAGAUCAUGAAUACCUUAAUCAAUUAAACAUUUGCUGAUAAAGUUAUGAUCGAUUGAAUUAAGGAUGUUGCAUGCAAAUUCUAUUGCGGACUUUUAGUGAUGGAAAAUGGACUUUUAGUGACAGAUGACUAGAAACUUAAUGGCCAAAAUUGUCAUUUCCUUCAUUUAGUUUUGGAUUUUUGGAGCAUGGUUCUUGCCUUUUUGUUUGUUGUUGUUAAAUUUCUCCCGUACUUGAUGGGUGCAAAGGUGAUUGUUCAUACAAAUCAUGCAGCACUUUGCUAUCGCAAGAGCAAGAAAGAUUCCAAAUCUCGUUUGAUGAGAUAGGUACUAUUGUUGCAAAGGUUUGACAUUGAUAUCCAAGAUCGGAAAAGGUAUGAAAACCAAGUGGCGAACAACUUGUCUCAUUUGGUGGAGGAGGGGAGGCCACAUGAUGGCCUUGAAAUCAAUAACUCCUUCCCCCAUGAGUAACUUUUCCUUUGUCAAUGAAAGAGAUGCCUUGGUUUGCGGAUUUGGAAAAUUAUCUUGUGAGGGGUAUCAUUCCGGUUGAGUUGUCUUCAAACCAAAUUAAGAAACUCAAACGGGAUUAUCAAGUGUGCUAUUGGAAUGAACCAUAUCUUUUCUGGAUUUAUACGGAUGAAGUGACUAGAAGAUGUGUAUCGGAGGACGAACAAAGUGAAAUUAUUUGGGCUUUCCACUCUUUGCAUUAUAGUGGUCACCAUGGUGGAGCAAGAACGGGGCCAAAAUGUUAAGUUGCGGGUUCUAUUAGCACUCUUUUCAAGGAUGCAAGUGAGAUUGUCAAGCAUUUUGAUCAAUGCCAAAGGGCCAGUGAAAUCGCAAAGAAAAUUGAAAUGCCCCUCACCACCAUCUUGCAGAUUGACAUUUUUGAUGGGGCACAGUAUUGAUUUCAUAGGUCCAUCCAUGAGUUUUUGUUGAAACACCUACAUCUUGGUCGCGGUUGAUUAUGAGUCCAAAUAGGUUGAGUUUGUUUCUUUUCCCAAAAAUGAAGCGAGAAGUACGGUGGAAUAUUUGAAGAAAAACAUCUUUAUAAGAUUUGGUACUCCAAGGGAUAUCAUAAGUGAUGGGGGUUCGCAUUUUUGCAAAAAGGCUUUCGACACCUUACUCACAAAGUAUGGCGUCACUUACAAAGGUACAACCACCUAUCAUCCUCAAGCAAGUGGUCAAGUGGAAGUCUCCAACCGGGAGACAAAGAGUAUUUUGUCAAAAAUAGUGAAUGCCAACUGGAUAGAUUGGUCAAAGAAACUUGAUGAUGCUUUAUGGGCUUAUAGAUGUCUAACAAAACACUAACUGGAAUUUCUCUAUACCGGUUGGUGUUUGGAAAAGCUUGUCAUCUUCCCGUGGACCUUGAGCACAAGGCCAUGUGGGCUUUGACGAAGUUGAACCUUGAGUGGGAUGUCACCGCCAACUUAAGAGUGGCACAAUGGAUUGAGUUAGAUUAGUUACAGUACCAUUCAUAUACAAGUUCAUCCUUAUAUAAGGAGAAGAUUAAGUACCUCCAUGACAAGUACAUUUAGAUCAAGGAGUUCAAACAAGGUGAUCUUGUGUUAUUGUUUAGUUCUCGAUUACAGAUGUUCAAUAAUGUAAUCCCUAACAGAUUGCUCUUUGUUCAUCACUAUCCAGUUUCCCGAAGUGUGUACUUCCUUAUAUGAACCACAAAGUAUUGUACAUUUGCCCAGGGAUUGCGUUGUUUUUGCCAUCCGUUGUAAAUGAUCUCCUACGUUUUUUCCAUGUUGUCCUUGACCAUAAAUCAUCCUGAAGUAGUCAACAAGAUUUCCAAGUGAAAUUUUUAAGCUCAUUUGAACCAAAAUUUUCCAUAUGAAUUUCCAACUGUGACAUGCUGAUAAUGUAGACGUUUCAGCUAUGUCAUGUUCAGCUCCAGUUGCGCGUACUGUCUAUUUACUUGAUAUUGAUUUCCUUGAAUAUGGUUAUAGUUCAUGAAAUAUAUUUUUUUUAUGCACUAAGGCUUUGUGCCCAUGAUGAACCAAAUUUACCAGAAUUACGCGCCAAAACCAGAAGUUUCCAAAGCUUAUGCCUAGUGCUGUCCAUAGUUGCCUUCUCAGGCUUGUGCUUGCCAUCGUUCCUUCUUCAAGGGAAUGAGUAUUGAGUACUAAUACCACCCAUCGAAGUCUUAGUAAAUGAAAAGGCAUGAGUACAUUGAAAUUUCCUGCAAAAAAAAAAAAAGAAAACAUUGUUAGUGAAAAUCUUAUCAACACAUUCUUCUCCAAAAAGAUUUGAAAAUGUUGAUCCUACUCAUGGUCAACACACUAGUUUCUGCUCCAGACUCUUAUACCUUUCACGUUCCUACUUUGUUGUGUUGUAGCCAGAUUUGCCUGACUCCCUAUAUCCCUUGAUAUCUCAAUACCUACUCCUAUACUUCAUGUUCCAUGAUGCUCAUUUCGAUUAAACGUUCUGAGAAUUGAAUCACCUUUAGUUGCUAUGUAUCGCCCAUAAGUCAUGCUGCUGCAAAGAAUAUGCAGCAGACUACCAUGCAUCCAAUGUCCAAAUACCACUAAAUGUCCAUUUCUCUAUGACGUUCUGGACUUAUCUCUAUCCUUUUUCUUAUAUAACUUCUCAUUUCUGUCAUUUGAAUGCCCUCCCUUUUAUGUGCACUAUAUAUUCCUCCACCUAGCAUUUGACAUUACCCAUUUUGGUUAGACUUUCUAGGUAUUUUCCUCCAGCUUGUUCGGUCUUUCCAUAAGAAAGACAAUGACCAGCUAUAAGGUUCUUCCAUUGGAUUGGGUGUCAUCUAUGAGUGUUGUCUUAGCCUAUGAUAGGGUUGUUCCAAUGGGCAUUUCCAUUUCUAGUUUCCCAAGUUGACUGUAGCUCCUUGAAUGAUUUAGCAUUUCCAUGGUCCCUGCUGCCUCUACUCCUGCUACUUCUAAUUUCCUUACAAUGGGUUGAGUGUUACGCACUAAUUUCACCAUCAGGAAAUCCAUUAGAUUGUAGAGCAUAUAGGCUUCUCCUCUCCCUAAUCUUUUUUCCGUUAAUCCUUGUUGCCGUCUUCCUUUAUGUCUCUUUGUUGUAUUUUGUCUUGAUGAAGCAUCUCUUUAGUGUGUUCCAGUUGUUCCUAUUGUAUAGAUGCUCCAGAUUCUUGUCCAAUAUUAUUGUACCUUCCCAAUUCUAGUCUGGGUAGAUUUCUAAGUUUCAACUAUUUUUGUGAGGCUCCUAUGUGUUGUGCUAUUGUCUAGUCUUAUAAACCUUCCAUAAGUUGAAUGCUAAGCACUGAUACAACCAACAGGAAGUCUAUUAGAUCACAGGACAAUCACACAUAAUGCGUACCUGCAAAACAAAAAACAAAGUUAGUAGAAAAGGGAGUCACCAUGCUCUCCUCUAUACAGAUUUGAGCAUGGUGAAUACUCUUGCGUUAUCCCCCUAACUUCCUAUUAUCUCCCUCUCCUUCACACAUUAGUUUCUUACAACUUUGACUCUCAAAUGAGGGCAUUACAACUUGUCUUCAUUCAUUAAAUUUCUUCCUUGAGAUUCCAACUCCCCGAAACCAAAGCAUUCUAUAUCCCCUACAUCCAGAGCAUAGUUAGCGAGGUAGUUUGCAAGUUUGUUUCCUUCUCUGAAGAUGUGGGACACCUAAUUGUUGACCCCUUCCAUUAACAGCCUAAUCUCCUCAAUAUGUUCAAUGAUACCCCAAGGAUGUUUCCAUGAUCCCUUGAUCGAGUUUUUCAGCACCAUUGAAUCAGUCUGCAACCAAAUAUGUGAAUAAUUCUAGGAUUUACAAAACCUUAGAGCCUCCACAAUAGCUGUUGCUUCUGCUUCAUUGUUCGAUCCUUCUGUGAUCUAAUUUCCUAAUGCAUACCUCAGGUCUCUAAUCUUAUACCAUACACAAAAUCCAAUCGAGCUUCUUCCUGGAUUUACCCUAGAGGUCCCAUCUAUGUUCACCUUUAACCACCCCUCUCUUAGGAAUUCCAAAGUGACCUUAUCAACCUUUAGCCUUGGUGUAUACCUCUCCAAAGUUGCCAAUAUAUCUUGCCAUCUUAAGGGGUACUCUAAGUCCUGGUUUUCUAUGACGGACCAAUCGUUACAGUGUUGUUGAGACUUGGUGAAUUACCCUGCUAACUGACACAGUCUCCCCAUAUUGUAAGUUGUUUCUUCUUUUCCGUAACUCCCAUACAAUACAAGAUGGUACUGCCGCCAAUAUUGGCUUUAUUGUUUGUAUCACAUGGGUUGUCAAACACUUGUUAAUGGCCUAAUGCAAAGUCAGCCCUUCUACUGCUAUACCUGCUCUCCUAAAAAAAUAUGUCCAUACCGUAGUAGCAAGCUUAGAUGAGAAGAACAAAUGACUCAGAGUCUCCUCCUUAGGGUCAACACAACACCAACUUCUUGUGGGCAUCGAGUAGCCCAAUCUUUUCAUGAAGCCAUCUAACGGUAAUUUGGCUUUCCACACCUUCCAUAAAAAAAAGUUUUAAUGGAAGUAACUUUACCCAUAUCUUCUUAUAAUCUUCCUUGGGAUCAUCCCUUCUCCUUAAUAUUCCCACACUGAUUUAACAGUAAAAAUUCCUUUAGGCUCCUACAUCCAAUAUGGGGAGUCCAGUACAUUUUGAAGAACUUGAGGUUUGAUUUUCUGUAUAAUAUGCAUUGCUAGAUCUUCUGGUAGAAGCUCUAUCAGUCUAUCUAUGUCCCAUGCUCCAUUCUUGACAACUUCAAACACAUUUUGAAUACCCUUAUCAACUCCAAUAUUCUGUGGGACUAUGAAAUAUAGAGCACCCAACCUUGUCUAAUUGUCAAACCAAUACACAGAGAUGUUCAAUGAUGUCCCUGCAUUCAAGCAUUUUCCUCCAGACAUGAGAUCCUGUUCUUCAUGGAACAAUUACCGAAUUCAUCCUUUUACAGUAAUUUUGGCUUACCAAAUAACUCCAUACACUAGGCUUUGUUCUAAAAUUCAACCACAGUUUACAUAAAAAAGCCUUAGAUACAUCAUGCAAUGAUCUAAAUCCAAAACCUCCCUCUUCAUAUGGCAUACAAAGAUUGGUCCAAGAAGCACAAUGCCUACUAGUACCUCCCACAGCACUACUCCAGAAGAAUUGAGCAAAGAUUUUGUGCAGCCUAUGAAUAACAUACUUAGUGGGAUUCACAGCUGACAAAAGAUGGAUUGGCAAGCUCUGAAAUACACUUCCUAUCAACACUGCCUGUCCUCCAAUUGACAGCAAUUUCCAUUUCCAAUCUUGUAAUUUGUCAAGGACGUUGUGGAUCAUACUCCUGUUUUCUUCUUGCAUAAAAUAUUGGGCAACCAAGAUAUGUGAAAGGUAAUUCCUGUCUUCCAAUACCUAUUAUCCUUUACACUUUUCUAACCACCUCCAAGUCUGUUAGGUGAUGCAUAUACAUAGCUGACUUGCUUUUGUUCACGAGCUGCCUAGAUGUAGCUUCAUAUGCAUGCAGAACCUCCAUCACUAAGCGUAAUGAAGUAGCAUCUGAGGAUGUAAAAAUUAUGAUGUCAUCUGCAUAGGCUACACAGCUGAUUUUUGGGCUCAAUAUAGGAAAACCAAAGCCACAGAAGUAUAAAUUCUUAUGCAACCAAUUCCAACCUCAAGAGAGAGCUUCUGCAGCUACAAUUAAGAGAGUUUGUGAUAAAGGAUCACCCUGAUUGAUGCCCCUAGAUGACUUGAAGAAUCCAUAAGCCUGUCCAUUGACAAACAUAGAAUACCAAUUGUUUCCUACCAAAUCAAACACCAUCCCAAUGAAUCUUUCACAAAAUCCCAUCUUUCUUAGCAUUUUUUGUCAGGAAUAACUAUGAAACCGUGUCAUAUGCCUUUCUCAUGUCGAGCCUGAUCACAACAUUAGGUCCAGCCCUUGUUCUAAGCCUAAUAUCUGUGAUGAUUUCCUUGGUUAGAAGUACAUUCUCCAGAAUACUUCUUCCUUUCAGAAACCCUGCAUGUUCUUCUAAGAUCAGAUUAGGUAGAAGAUCCACCAACCUCUCAUGCACUACCCUCGAGAAUAUUUUAUUAAUGAAAUUAUUGAGACUCAUAGGCCCCAAUUUUGCAAAUGUACUGACCUCUUUUUUCUUUGGCAGCAACACUAAGUUGGUGUGUGUCACAUAUUUUGGUAGUUCAUGACCAUUAAAGAAAGCUAGCGCCAUAUUAUAUAUGUCAUCCCCAACAAUAUCCCAACAUGAUUGAUAGAAGGCACCAGUGUACCCAUCAAGACCACCUGCUGAGUCCCCAUUUAGUCCAAAUACUACACUUUUAGCUUCUUUUUUUGUUGGUAAUGCUGUCAGCCUUGAAUUAUGUUCCUCUUCCAUCAAGCAAGGAACAUGAUCAAUAUGCAAAGCAUUAGGAAUUACAAUUUCUGUGUAUUGGUUUUUGUAAAAUCUUACAGCUUCAUCCGCAGUGAGCUCAUCAUCCUCUAGCCAGUUGCCCAUAUUAUUCUUAAUCCUUUUGAGUUGUAGCCUUUUUCUCAUGCCUCUCACUUGAGCAUGAAAGAACUUUGUAUUUCUGUCACCAUCUUUGAACCAUGUCAUGCCUGCCUUUUGCUUCCAAAAAUCCUCUUCAAUUACAAGAUAUUUGAUCAUCUCUGCUUGGACCUUCUACAAUCUCUCUCUAUUUUGUUGCGUAGGAUAUGCUUUGAAUUGUCUUUCAUGCACUAAUACUGCCUCGUCAAGGCUUGAAAUCUUCUGAAAAAUAUCACCAAAGCUUGUUCUGCUCCAUGAAGACAACACUUUCUUCAGCUUCUUUAUUUUGUGAUUGAACAAAACAAAUGGAUUUGUAGAAAAAUCUGCAUUCCAAUUUUCAUUUACAAAAGAUUUAAAAGCCUCGUGCUUUGUCCAAAAAUUAAGAAAUCUGAAUGGUUUCUUAAUAGGUGGGGUUUCAAUAUCACAUUUUAGAAGCAUUGGGCAAUGAUCAGAUCCAGUCUUUGAUAAAUGAGUGAUCUCUAACCCUGGAAAGGUUUGUUGUUGCUCAAUCUCUAACCCUUAAAUCCCAAUUCUGACAUGUUAUAAGAUUAAUGGAGUGUCUGAAAUCAUCUACCUCAAUUAAUAACACUGGCAAUCCUCCAAAAUUUUCUUCCUUAUCACAAAUCACAUUGAAAUCCCCCCAACAAGCUAAGGAGCAUCCAUAUCUAAAGCUAUUUCAUACAAUGAAUCCCACAGUUCUAUCCUCUCAAUUGCAUCAUGUUUUGCAUACACCAAAGCUAGAAUCAAUUCUACGUGCAUUUCAGUGUGAAAUAAUUUCAAUUUCAAUUGCUACCCCAUGUUGUACAGUAUAGUAACCUCAAAAACUUCAUCAAUAAAUGCCCAUAUUUUAUUUGAAACAUUAACCACAGGCUGAGCCAAGCCUAUUAUGCUCUUAUACAUUUCCAUUUUGCUAUACUGUUGCUUUGGUUCCAUGAUUCCUAUGAACUGAAAAUGAUAUUGUCUAUGCAUCUUAAUCAACCUUUCAAAGGCCUGCAAUGUAUUCAAUGACUUGACAUUCUAUAUAGUGGCAUCCAUUACUGAUUGAGUGAUUUAUUGAUGUACAAUGUUCUUCUUGUUUGAACCCCUCCUGCUAGGGCAGUUGAGGCAUCUUUGAAUUGCUUUUUGUUGCUUCUUGGGCAAUAACCCAUGUGUCUUUUUCUUUUUCUUUUCCAUCUUCUUUAGAUAGGUUUUAUUUAAUGCUAACUAUUUUUAAGUGUGUUGUAGAAUAAGUGUGCUUUGCAUAGAUUGUGCUCGGAAAAUAAUUGAGUGUGGACAUCACAAAUUUGAGUGCCAUAGUAGAAUGGACUCUGUGGCCGUACAAUUCUUGUGUGGACCGCACAACAGGGAAGUUAAAAAAUUACACUCUCUCUGAAGUUUCUGUGGUUGCACUAAAAAAUGUGCGGACCGCAGAAUCAUCGAGCGUAGAAUAGUAUCAGGUAAUGGAAUGCGUACCACAUAUGAAAUUGUGCGGCCGUACUCACCUCUUAAACCCUUAUCGAUCUGUGAUUGUAUUAAUAGAAGCCCUUAUUCUCCAUCAAAGGCUUUACACACUUAAAACAUUUACAAAGGCAAAAGCACAAUGCACUUAUUUGAUUCAAGCAUCUCUCCCUCAUUUCAUCAUAUUGAUUCAUCCUCAGCAUCAUUUAAUUAUCAAUAUUUUAAUUUAUUUUUAAAAAAAUCCAUUUUCUUAAUUUUGUUCUUAAUUAGCUAGUUACUUUUAGCUCUAAUGUAUAAUCCAUCGUCAUGUGAGCUUACUUUUGUAUGUGUAGUUGCCUACUUACCAUAUGGGGGAUGGGUAAUUGGUUUAUCAUGUCUAAAUUGCUAGUACCGGGUUUAAUAUUUUGUUAAAAGUUGGAACCCUAAGUUCAUUGCCAUUUUGUUUUGAAUUUUGCGAUUCGCAGAUUAAUAGUUUAGGGCAGUUUGUGUUUGCUGAUUGGCGAACCACACUCCAAAUUGUGCGAUCCGUUGAAAUUGGACUCCGGCUGCAGAAAAGUGUGUGCGGCUACAGAUCAACUAUAUAAUACCGUGGGUCAGUAUGAAGAGCCUUUGGUGGUAGAUAAGCUUCAGCAACAUACCUUUAGCUGACAUGCCUACCACUCAGCCGUGCUUUCUAGCAGUAUAACUGUCACACCUCCACCUCCAUCUUCAGGGCCACCAUCAGUAUCCGUGCCUUCAUCUUCUACUUAUCCACUUAUGGUGCUGCAAAACUCCCAGACACUGGUGAGUCUCAACAACUAGAUACAAACAUCUACCACAAAGAUGUCUGAUCUAUCUAGUGUUGUUGCAGCCCAAACAUAUACCCCAACUCCCCAGAUUUCUCCGACAGCGACGGAGACUUUGAAGAGGAUUCUAGAGAACCAGAAGACUAUUAUGGACACUCUGGAACCACAUAGAACAACAAUAGAGGAGCUUGGGAAGCAGGUGAAGAAGAUGAGGAAAUCCCAAGUUUAGAAGAAGUCAUUUGACAAACUGACAUGGAAGGUGAUCAAGAUAGCCUCAACUGUGGAUUUUCCACUUGACUUGUUGAUGGAGACAGGUCCAGUAGCACCAUCAGCACCAGCUAACCAGCAUGAGGAGCCAGACCUUACUGCCCACACUGCUGAGACAGUGCUACAGAAGUUCACCAACCCAGCUACUCUCCGAGAAGAGAAUGACAAGAUACAGUUGGAGGAGCUCGAGGAUGGCGAUGCUACUAUAGAUACUGAGAAAACAUAUGGAUUCCUCUCUACUAUUUCCCUUCCUUAGUUUUUAUUUUGUUAAGAAUUAGGGACAAUUCUUACUUAUAUUUGGGNNNNNNNNNNNNNNNNNNNNNNNNNNNNNNNNNNNNNNNNNNNNNNNNNNNNNNNNNNNNNNNNNNNNNNNNNNNNNNNNNNNNNNNNNNNNNNNNNNNNNNNNNNNNNNNNNNNNNNNNNNNNNNNNNNNNNNNNNNNNNNNNNNNNNNNNNNNNNNNNNNNNNNNNNNNNNNNNNNNNNNNNNNNNNNNNNNNNNNNNNNNNNNNNNNNNNNNNNNNNNNNNNNNNNNNNNNNNNNNNNNNNNNNNNNNNNNNNNNNNNNNNNNNNNNNNNNNNNNNNNNNNNNNNNNNNNNNNNNNNNNNNNNNNNNNNNNNNNNNNNNNNNNNNNNNNNNNNNNNNNNNNNNNNNNNNNNGGGGGGGGGGGGGGGGGGGAUGACAUUGGCCUGUAAAUAACUCAUAACAUUUUCUUUUUCUUUUCAUAUAUCUACAUAUUCCUCUCUCUCUCUAUAUAUAUUGAUGUAUAUAUUAUCUCUUCUCUCUCAUCUUGGAUAGUCAUUUAUGCUUUUAUUAGUUUACUUUAUAGCUUUAGUUUUUUUUAAUUUAGUAGUAAAUGUUUAGUCUAAUAGCUUCUGAUAUACUUUGAUAACUUCUUUUCACUUAGUAGUUCCUUUUCAUGUUUAAGUGUUCAAUAAGCCUUUGGUUUUCUUAAUGCCAUGGUUCUUUUCAAAGGUAGUUUUGUCUGAACCGGUGACUCCUCCCAAUGAUAGAUGGCGUGAAAACCUUCUUAACUGGUUGAGCCCGUUUUUGAUGUUUCAGUAAGAAUAGUAAUAAUAGUGAAUAAGAGGACCUAAUUGAGUAAAACUAGAAAAUAGAGCAUGCUUCAAUUGGUACCAACACACAACGACAUGAUUAUGAUUAAAAAUAGGAGCUUUUUCUAAUCAGUUCUUCAUCCAAGUUCUUUCUAAUACUCUCUCACCCCUUUCUUCUCUUUAUCCCCAUCCAUUUUUAUUUUCUAUGUUUUGGCCCGCGGACUUAGGGCUCUAUGGCUGCGUUCUCAUCAGUCAAGCCACAUCCUUUUCCUAGGGCUUUCCUUUAUCAAGUAAGCUUAAAUGGGCUCGUCGUCGUUGUUGUUGUUGUUAUCAUUGAUGUUGUUUUAUAUUUGUUGGAUCAAGGGGAUGGGAUAGGGGGUUGACUUCUUUCGACUUAGGAAGAUAUUUGGACUCUACACCGCCGCUGCUAGGGAGGACAUUCAAAAUAUACACCAUUGCUCACCUCCUUACGCCGACCUAGUGGGGCACUUCAUCUCCUUUUCUUUCCAAGGGAUGAAAUUGCACAACUGGCCACUUAACAUCCAUGGCACAAUGUCCUAAGAAGUGGACUUAAAGUAGUUGUGCAGCUAGGGCCGACGCCAGCCAAAUCUUCUAUGGUGUCGUAGUUUCCUCGGCUUGAUAGAAGCCUUUGGUCUUUGGUGGGAUAUGGCUCUUUUUUCCGCUUUUUCUACACCACUUUCCUUAUCAUCAUCUUCUCCACUGAUGAUGCCGUUCUGGAAGAUCGAGAUGGGCCCUUCGAGGAGGUGAUGCUCGAGGACACUGCUGCAAAGGAUGCUCCCGAGAGAAUAGGCUAGGCUCUAGGCUUUAAUUUGUAUAUGAACCUUUUUGCUCCUUCGUUUCUGUUUAAGGACUCUUCGUGGGCUUUUGUUAUCAUAUUUUUAUGGAUAUAAAGAUUUACCUUUAAUUUGUCUCUGUUGUAUGUUAUAUUUCCCUUCGUCUAUGCUUGUGAGGAAUAUGAGUGCAUGACCCCACUGAUUGGUGUAAAUAUCAAGCCUGAGUGCGAGCAUUUCCUGUGGCUAUUGACUGACUAACAUAAUUUCCCAUGGCACCCUUUGAUGUUCCUUGGACCGAGCCCAAAUUAGACUGAUAAACUCAGGUCGUCGGGGCCCACGACUUUGAGUUGAAUAAGAGUGGGGCUUCGCACCUUUGGGAUGAGACUUAGACGUUUAGACACCACGGGGGUUGCUCGGAUGCUUCAAGGCCGAAACCAUAUGAGUAGGCUGUUAGAGACUAUCUCCCUUUUGGUGGAGCUCCUCGAGAUCAGGUACCAUCUCGUGACUUGUAAUAGUAUUGAUGGCUCUGGAGCCAAUCUUCCUCUUGGUGGAGGUUUUUGAGAUCGGGUACCAUCUCGGGACUUGUAAUGAUAUUGAUGGCUUUCUAGGGCCAAUAUUUCUCUUGGUGGAGGUCCUCGAGAUCAGGUACCACUUCCAGACUCAUGGUGAUAUUAAUGGUUUACUUGGAGUAUGCCUUCCUCUAGCGGAGGACCUUGAGGUCGGAUACCACCACGAGACUUGCAAUGAUGCCAGUGGCUUCAUGGAGCCUACUUCUUUUUGAUGGAGGUCCUCGAGGUCUGAUACCACCUCGGGACAUGCACUGAUGCCAAUGGAUUCCUGAAGCCUAACUUCUUUUUUAUAGAGGUCCUCGAGGUCGGGUACCACCUCAGAACUUGGAAUGACACCAAUGGCUUCCUGGAGCAGAACUUCUUUUUUAUGGAGGUCCUCGAGGUCGUACCACCUUAGAACUUGGAAUAAUUUCAAUGGCUUCUUGUAGCCUAACUUCUUUUUAAUGGAGGUCCUCAAGGUUGGGUACCGCCUCGGGACUUGGAAUAAUACCAAUGGCUUCAUGGAGCCUAAUUUCUUUUUGAUGGAGGUCCUCGAGGUCGGGUACCACCUCGGCACUUGGUUGAUUCGUGGUUUUUGACCUUAAAGCGUUGUAUGGCGACGUCGAGUGUAGAAUUUGGUUAUGAAAUGACCGAGGAGAUUCUGCCGGUCUAUCUUUCUAAAGCGACAAAAGCUCUAGCAAAUAUUCCUAGUCAGCCUUUGAGGCAGACAUAUGGUUGUUGCUUUCCCCAUAUAUAGGGUUAUCUUUGCCUUCUGAAGAUUCCAUCACUCUGAGUGGUUAUUCUUGCUUCCUGCAUUAGGCCUUACAUUACUUCAGUAUUAACGCUCUUGCCCAAAUUCUUGCUCUUCUUCUCUGAUUUUGCCACAUUCAGGACUGCUACAUCAGGAUCCAUUCGGCAAGGAGGAGAGAGUUCUACCUUUGGACCUCGCCUCAUUGAUAGAGCGCCACUGAUGCCAAGCUGGCCUGACUCAGGGCGUUUUGCUUUAAAAGGGGUUUUUGUCGUCAAAUAAGUACCUAGAUGCUCAGGAUCAAUGGGUGCAUACCUUGAAGUUUAUUUCUUUGAUAGGAGAGGAACACCUCGGGUAGGUGAGAAAGGACUUCGGAUGAGGGAAAAGGUAGUAUUGUGGAUACCUUUCCUAGAUGAGCAUAUCACGGACUGUGCCUAUUGGUUUUUGAAUAUGUACAUGUACCCUUUCACGCUGGGACCCCUUGAUAGGGUUGUGCUUGACUCUGUCAAAAGUAUCAGGUGACCUUGGCGCAGAUUCACCCAUAAUUUUUGCGGAUAGUGUUAUUGAUGAGAUUCUUUGCAAAGCAGGCAGGGCUUAAAUUCAUGCUCACUAAUCUUAUCAGGCUGUACCAGCCUUUUCACCAUCGAGGUCUGCUAACCAUACAAUGCUGGUUGACCACACCUUUCGUCAUUGAUGAUGGAGAAGACAAAGAUCGGGAGUGGAUGAGUCGAUCCAUCCGAGUAUGGAGUGUAGAUAUUAUCCCUAUGUAGUUCAUGUCAUUUCCCGAGGAAUGGAAUUAUACACGUAAGUGGUACACUUGUGCCCUCUUAGUUUUUUAAUUAUGGUGAACAGCGAGAGAGAUUCCUGAUCUACCGGACUGGGUUCGGAAGUUUGCGACCCAAUCGACUUACAAUGAGUGUAAGUGGAAAGAGUUAUCUAAGGAUAGGUGCGAGGCAAAACACCUUAAUACGUGCUAUGAGAUUUUGCUCCCCCCCCCCCCUUUUUUUGGGGGGGGGGGUUUUUUUUUUUUNNNNNNNNNNNNNNNNNNNNNNNNNNNNNNNNNNNNNNNNNNNNNNNNNNNNNNNNNNNNNNNNNNNNNNNNNNNNNNNNNNNNNNNNNNNNNNNNNNNNNNNNNNNNNNNNNNNNNNNNNNNNNNGUGCUAUGAGAUUUUGCUCCCCCCCCCCCAUUUUUGUGGAAGGGUGCUUUUUUAUUUUUGCAUACUAAAUCUAUCGUCGUAGGCAUCGGGGAGUCCCUACAAUAAAUGUUGUGUUUUUAGGAGACGGAUAAAGAUUGUCGGCUUUCGGGUUAAAGAAUGAUAAUAACAAUCAAGAAACACCUUUAUAGGACAACGGUACUCAAACCAAGACAUAACCAGAUGGGGGGCUCGAAGAGUAUUCAUUGAUUGAGCGUGCUUCACCCACGAUUCUUGGUUUUGGGUAGGUAAUUUCUCCUCCGCUGUCGUCUUCUUUUUUGUCGAAUGUACUUCAAGGAAUACAUAAAACUCGCAUUGUAUACACCGAACGACUGUAUCCCAAUCGGGGUCAGAUCUUUCGGAGCUGAGGGUGAUAGGUUGGCAAAUGUGCACUCGACCUUUGAGGAAGCCCAGCCGCUUCACUCUGUUGUAAGUUUUGGCAUAGGCCUUUUGAGUUUUGCUCCUUCCCGUCCUUAUUGAGUAUUCCUUUGUAGUCCUUCGACAAGCUUUAGUCCGAGCUGCUUUACCGUGAGCCUAGGCUACAGAUAGCUCUGGAUGAGGAGAAAUCUCUUAGGCUGCUUUGUGAUGAAAGGGAAGUCGAGUUGGAACACCUACGGUAUGAGCCGAAUCGGAGCUUGAAUUAUGAUAGAUACUUGAAGGAACAUGUAGUUUUUGUUUUGAGUGACUGUGUGUUCCUUUUUCUAGUUCAUAAGGCUAAUGCUUCAUUUAUUUUAGUUGAAGAAAAAGAUGGAGGACUUGGAGCAUCUUCGGGAUGAGGCUGGCCGAGUUAAAAGCUCAUGCAGAGGUUCAAUUCUCCUUGUAAGGUCCUCGAGCAUCUUUACGAUGGCGGGAUCGGCAACCGACCUUUUGUUGCUUGAUCACUCUGGUACCUGCUCGGCUAGGGUACCCAUCCCCGGUUCUACCAUGCUAGGAGUUUUCUAAUGACUUUAUAUUUGAGCAUUAUCCAGCUAUUGUCCUUGCAACAUUUCAAAAAUAACGCGAAGGCUAAUCUCCCGUUCUUCCCUAUUUAGGGAUUUCUAAGCUUCUUAUUGAUCUCCUUGGUGCACGCUUCUGUCAGUGUGUGAGCUUAUAUCAAUAUGUUGGGUGUCGUGCGAGACCGGGUCCAGGGAAGGAUUUGGUGCAUUCAUAGGGUUUCAUGGUGGUACACCAACAACUGGAACAUCUACACCAUUUUCUCUAUCAGUGUGUGAGCUUGUUAAAUGAGCCAGACAUUUUGACCUAUAAUCAAAGAUCUUGGGCAUGAAAAAAGUGUGAAAGAUAACUUGCAUUGUGUAGUAAAACUAGCAAGAAAACAAUCACUAUUAUUUUUAGCCCCACGGUGGGUGACAAACUGUUUACCAUGAAAAUGUUAAUAACAAUUGAAUUUGAUUAUGGGAUUGUAAAAGUACGUCAUUUAUUUUUAUGCUAGCUGUUAAGAAAUUGAUGCUAUGUAAGAGACUUAGAAAUGAGAUAAGAGCUUACGAGCAAAGUGAUAGACAAACCAAAUGAUUGGUAAUUAGGGCCUCGAGCUCGACUAUUCAGGGGCCUCAAGGUCGAGUUUGGAGCUCGACUGGGAGCUAUAUUGGGUGAUUGAUGGGCGAAUAACAGUUGUGGUAAGAUCAACAAUGACUAUUUAUGGCCAAUAAAAUGCAAUAAAUGAAGACUAUAAGUAGAACACAAUAUAAGCAAUAAAUGAAGUAGUGAACUCAAGAGAAUAUGUUAGAGAAUAGAGAGAAUAUUCUUUAGUAUUUAGUAUGGAGCAACAAAUAUAUACAGAAUGGCAAGGAUCCCUUUUAUAUAUGAGGGGAAUCCUAACAUAGUAUAAAAAGAAUUAAUUACAAAGAUAUGGAGAUGGUACAAUUUAUUAAUGUCUUGAUUCGUUUAUGGACUAGUCCACUAGACUUUGUCAACCCUAGCCAUGUGUCUUAAAAACUCUCCACUUUCACCCUAACUGUUAGUUUGCACUGCCUCGAGCUCGAGCGUCGGUGACCAUUGAGGGAGGAAGCUCGUUCGGAGUCUCGAGCCUUCAAGACAUGCUUUUGAGAUGCCUCGAUGACGAGAAACUGGACCUUUUAAUUUCACCGUAUACACUCUAGGUAGUGACCGUAUGACUCUUUUGUUGACUUAAGAUUUCACCGAGUUGUUUAAUCGAACAAUUAGUGAUUUGUUUUGUUGACUUAGGCCCUCGACUCUUUCCUCUUCAACAAUCUAGUUGUGUGAGAAGUGAGAUGUUUUUGUUGCAAGUCCAAGUACACGUACGAAUGGUCUAGAACUUGCUCCAAAUGUGUUUUAGGUGAAAUUCAAUGUAUUGCGUGGCUUGAGAAUUAAUUGUAGGAUCUCCUUGACCCGUUUGAAAAUUUCCAUGUUCCACAAAUGUUGUUAUCCCUAGUCAACCUGUUUGAGCCUAUGACCUUUCUCAUUUGAUUACCAUGCUACAAGUCUUUACCCAUUUUGCAGUGACUCUCUCUUGUCACCCGAGCUUUCCUUAACACUGUUGAGAAACAGUUGGCUAAAACAUAAUUUUGGGGGAGAGACAAAGAGUUUGAAAGUGGAGAAAAUACUGAAAAAAAGGAAAGGCAAAGAAAAAUAAAGAAAGAACAAUAGAAAAAUGCAAAAAAGAAAGUGAAUAAAUUGAGAGUUGAAGGGAUUCAAAGAAAAAAACAAUUAUGAAAAGCAUGGAGAAAACAGAGAAGUAGAACAAUGAACAUCAUAAACAAGAAAGAGUGAUGUUAACUCUCUCUAGUUUCCCUAAAGAAGAAGAAAAAGACUCAAAGAAUCAGCAAAACAUGAGCCAAAAAGACAAAAUGGAGUCUUUAUGGAAAAAUGAACUCGUUCUAUUCCAACAUUUCCUACCUUAGUCCCAAAUCCUUCAAUACAUUCCGAAAAAGUCCUACGUGAUUUCAAGUCGAGUUAACUUGCAUUAGUAGUGAUUUAUAUGAGGGAUAAUCAUAUGGUACUUAGAGUCGUACUUGUGACAUUAUUUUGAGAGAGAUGAGUGAACUUUUCACAAAUCCUUGAAUUGUGUGUUACACUCUUAAGUGAGAUAUUCUUACAGAGAGUAGAGGAGGAGAAGAAUUUUGUGAUCGCUAAUGACCUACAUGAAAGAGCGAGCUUCCUUGAUGAAUAAAGGCCACUCAUGAUGAUCAAGUGUCACAUUCGAACUAUUGGUGCUUAGAAAUUCAAAUCAUUGUCUUGUUGAUAAUUCAUAAGUAUUGUGGGUAAUUGUUAUUCCCAAUUGAUGUGUUAGCUUGAGUAGCUCUUACAUUUUGGAGGUGGGAUUUACUUUAACUGCUUGAGGACAAGCAAAAGCUUAAGUUUGGGGAAGUUGAUAAGUGGGGAUUUUGACUACUUAUUGACGCCUUCUAGCUUUUUUUUUGUCCAAAAAUGCAUAAUUGUAUUCUCAAAAACUAAUGAAAUAUUAAUUGUAGGAGUAUUAGAAAAUGAGCCACAAAUAUGAAAUCCAACUCAAGAAUGAGUGCUUUGAACUUAAAAAAAAAAUUAAAGGGGCCAAAAGGCUAAUGUGUGGACCGUAUAAUUCCUUCUUCGGCUGCAGAAUGCAAAGGAAAUACAAUAAAGCCUUAGUCUGAAGUGUGGACCGCCUAAUUAUUCUGCGACCAAAGAAGCUAUGCCAGAGCUCAAUUUUAGAGAAGUCUCAUUUCAAGCCUAAAGGAUAUGCGGACCACUCAUUUAUGGUGCGGUCGCAGAAAUCACCAUGCAAUCGCACUAAGAAUUGUGCGCUCCGCAGAAGGUCCCUACCAGACCACACUCAAAUUUGUGCGAAAACGCUGAAUUGAGACAUGUGGUCGUAUUCCAGAAUUGUGCCACCGCAUAUCCAGCUCCUAUCGAUACCUAAGGGAAGUGUGGACCGCAUAUAGAAUGGUGCGGCCGUAUAACCUCAGAAAUGGAAAUAUUGUCCAAAAUCUUCCAGCUUUUUGUAAAUAGACUAAUUUCUCGAAAUUAGUUCAACUUUUGAAUAUUAGAACUCCUGUACCCAUUUUUCAUUAGUGCUUUUGGCAACUUCAAAUUACUUUGGUGAUUAAAUAUUGGGUUUCUUUUAAUCUUUCAAUAUGAGUUUUAUUAUCUUUUCUUCUCUAUUUUUUUCAUUACCCAUUAUGAGUAGCUAGAUUUUUAACUAGGAACCCUAGUGUAUAACCCUAGUGUAUAAACCUAGGGUUGUAAAUCUUUUCUUCUCUAUUUUAUUCAUUUGGUAACACUCGGUAUGCAAACAUCUUUGUGGAGCUGGGGGUGAAAUAUGGACAUUGUCUUGAGGCAGUCGUCCUCAUCUAUUUGCUUGAGUUUCAAGAGGAACCUUUUCAACUUGAUCAUCUUCCACGUGCACAUACCCCAUAGGCAGGUUUCCGAGAGGAUCAUUGUUUUUGAGAGCCAUUAUUUAACCUACAUUUGUUUCACAAAAAAAGAUUAGUAACACAGAAGGAAAAGAAUACAAUUCACAUACAAAAUCAAAUAUAUAGCUAAAUCCCAUUUUAGCUCCCCACAAACGGUGCCAAAACUUGAUCUCAUCCAAGUCACACCUCUAUUCAAGGUUAUGAAAUAUCGAUGCAAAACUAAUACCCAACUAACAGUCGGGGUCGAAUUCCACAUGGAGAUAUGAGAUUGGGAUAUAGGAGUAUAUAUCACGAUAUAUGUGUUUGAACCAUCUUUAAUUGCACUUCCACAAAUUUGGUAUGUUCUAUAGCUAAAUUAACUAAGAUUACAAAAAAGUAAUUGAAACUAAUAAAUGGUGAUUUUGUUGUUGUUUUCAAAUAUUGUAAAGGCCUAGGGCUAUGACCUUCACCUAGGUGUUUGCCUAAUGGGUUGUAAACGCUAAACCUUGUUUCGUUGGUCGAGGUGUAUUAUAACUAUCAACACUCAAGUUCCUACUCAAUACCUAACGGUAAGAGAGUGAUUUUGCUCAAUUAGGCUUUCUCAAGUCCAAAUGGGUAUUGGACAAUACAAUUGAUAAAAUACUCAAGUCGGGCUAGGUUCAUCACAUUAAUUGGGACCAUCAAUCUCUUGAAUUCAUCCCAAAUUCUUGUUAGCCAAGUUUUCCUACACUAAGUCUCUCUUUGUCAAGUAGAGACCAAGUCAAGUGGGAAUGAACUAAUAUUUGAAACGAUUAAUUCUACAAUAAAGAAGCAAAAACAAGGCUAAAUAAUAAACAACCAACCAUAAACAAGCCAUAAAUUAAACACCCAUUAGUAUUGCACAUUAGGGUUAGGUCACAACCCUAGUUAAAAAUGUAGUGACUCAUAAUGGAUAAUGAAGAAAAUAGAGAAGAAAAGAUAAUAAAACUCAUAAUGAAAGAUUGAAAGACAAAAAUCCUAUGUUUAAUCACAAAAGUAAACUACAGUUGCCUAAAGCAGUAAAGAAAAACGGCUAUAGGAGUUCAGAUAUUCAAAACUUGACCUAAUUUCGUGAAAGUAGUAUAUUUAUAGAAAGUUUGAAAUUUUGAAUAAAAUUUCCUUUUCGAAGGUCCUAUGUUCGCACAAUUCUAUGUUUGGUCUACACUUCACUUGGGUCUUCACAUGAGCUGGAUCUGCGGCCGCACAAUUCUAGAAUGCGGCUGCAUGUCUCAAGUUCUACGUGAGCACAAAUCUGAGUACCGCUGCGUAAGGUCCUUCUGCAGGCUGUAAAAUUCUAUGUGCAGUCGCAUGCCUGAUUUCUUAUUUUUGGAGCCGUGUAGGGUCCUUCUGUGGAUCGCACAAUUUUGAGCGCGACUGCAUGGCUGAUUUCUUCGGCCGCACAAUAAAUAUGUGGUCCACAUAUCAUUUAGGCUUAUGAGUCUUGUCCGAACUUGAGAUCUGGCAUAGCUUCUGCGGCCGUACAAUAAUUAUGCGGUCCGCACUUUGCAUUAAGGCUGUGAUGGAUUUCCUUUGCAUUUUGUGGCAACUGAAACAAUUCUGCGGUCGGUAGAUUAGCCUUUUUUCCUGAUUUUUGUUAUUCAAUUCAAAUCAAUCCUUCUUGAGUUGGAUUUCAUCUUCGUGGUUCAUUUUCCAAUACUCUUGCUAUUAAGCAUAGUUCAUCAGCUUCUGGGAAUACAAUUAAGCGUUUUUGAACUAAAAUGAAAGCUAGAAGGCGCUAAUAAGUAGUAAAAAUCCCUAUUUAUCAACUUCCAUUCAUAUCAAAGCAUAGAUUACUAGUAAAUCUCCAACAAAAAAGGUCUAUAUCCUUCACGAAUCCCCUCAUGCUCCAACACCCCAUCAUCUUGAACUCACUCACCAUGCAACUAUCCAACCAACCUCAAUAUACUUCUCAGUAUCCCCUAGUUCAAACUUACCCUCAAUCAUGGUUGGAAAUGAGUCUUCAAGAACAUUCCCUGACAUUUACAAUGGAAAUUGAAGGCCUGGAUGUGAUCAUAGUGAUCCAAAAUCUAGCAGACAUUGUGCAAAUUGUGACGGAGGAUAUUAGGGUAGGGGUCGACCUUACAAUCAAUAUAUAUGGGCCAUGCAUCCACCUUCGACACUACACAACUAUCAUUAUAAUACGUCUCUCACGAUCCAAAAUCCAACUUGUCGUGAUGGCGCCUAUCAUGAUACUAGGCAAGCUGACUACUCAGACAUUUCCAACACUUCCAACUUUGAAAUAUACUAGAACAAUUUAAAUGAAUAAAAAAACUUAUCAAAUGAGAUAGAAUAUCAUAAGUCAAUACAUAAGCUUUUUCAAAAACCGGGGUAUCACUGUGUACAUAGGUAUCUAGACAAUGACAUAGUCUAGUGCACUGUUUAGAAAAUAGAACUGAAUAAAUGAACUGAAAGAUAGGGGAGGAGAGUCAAGGUCUGGGGACGCCAAAGUAGCUACCUCGAUGAUCUCCAAACGUCUGAACUCUAUGAUUCAGCAACCGCCGUGACCGAAAGCACCUGGAUCUACAAACGAGGUAAAGGGUAUAGCGUGAGUACAACCAACUCAGUAGUAACAAGUCGAACUAUUGGGAUGAAAGUAGUGAUAAGCUUUACAGAUACAGCCGAAUUACAAAUUUCACUACAAAAAUGCGGGCAUGCUUUCAAGUUUAACAAUUAAAGCCCAAAGAGGUAAAUCACGUCAAAUUCAAUUGAAACAAGACAUGGUACAUCUCGAUAACUACAUGAAUGAUGUAUGUGCCAACUAAUGUACAACAGUAAUGAAAUCAAAUACAUAUUCUCAGAAUCAGUCACUCAGUCUUCUAAUUCACUCCAUCCUCACAAUCACUCAUUCAAAGUCACUCAAUCCUCACAGUCAACUAGCACUUGCACUCAGUAGGUACCUGCCCUAACUGUGGAUAUCCAGACUCCGGAGGGACAAGUCCAUUCCAAGCGCUACAGUAAUCCAAUCAUGGAAUGAAUCAAAAUAACAUGUUGCGUUGUGCAGCCCACUCCCAUAAAUAUUCUCACAAAUGGUCCCUCGACCUCACUCAGUCAUCUAUCUCUCUAGUCUCUAUGGCUCUCAAGAAUCAUGAUAAUCAUCCCAAAAUAUAAUGAUAUAAUUAUCAAUAAAGGACAACUAAGACUGAGAUAUAAUAUUCAAAUAAUAUUAUGACUGAGUAUACAAUUACAAUUAAAUAAAUAAUUUAACAUACAAAACGACCUCUAUGGGUCCCAACAGUACCAACAUGUAGUUUACGCAGUAUUUCUAACAUGACUGGCAACUCCAUUUCUCUAACAUGGUCAAAAUACAAAUACAACAAGAUUGAUCAACUAUACAGCUUUAUGGAAAACCAAGUCACAUACCUUAUCGUGCACGCCGUCACCUAGCAUGUGUGUCACCUCAACACCAAUCACACAAUACGUAAGUAGGGGUUUCGUACCCUCAGAACUAUGUUUAGAAAUGAUACAUGCCUUAAAAUGUUCAAACCUCGACUCCACAAGCCUUUGCUUCGCGCAACGGCCUUUGAAUGCCUCGAAUCUAGCCACAAACAAUUCGAUACGAUCAACUCAAGCUAUAGGAAUCAAUUCCAUACAAAAAUCAACCCAUGGGCCCACAUAUCGAAAUUUGAUAAAAAUCAUAAAAUACGAACACUCAUUCAACCACGACUUCGUCCAUACCAAAAUUACUCAAGUCCAGUACAACAAGCUCGAUCAAAUCCCCAAAAUUCAGCCUAAGGACUUUGCUCCAUUUGCCCUAAUGUUUCAACCCAAAUCACUAAUUAAAUGAUGAAAUCAAAGAUAUAAACAUGUAAUUUAACCAAAACUAAGUAAGAAUCACUUACCCAAAUCACUCACUUGAGAAUCUUUGCAAGAAUUGCCUCCAACCGAGCUCCCAUAAUAAAAUUUGUGAUAUGAACUCAACCCUCGUUUUUGAAAUAUUUAAUUUCUACCCCCGCGAUUGUCACUCCUUCUUUACACACCACCCCAAAGAGUAGUGUAUAAGAGAGUUUUUCCACUUUAAGUGUCACUAUUCGAAAUAGGAUUAUUUAUUUAUCAGAGUCGCCACUUGGGAUAGUUUAUUUGGUGUCCCAAGUCACCAGUUUAUUUUGAAUCCCAAAUUGAGGAAAAUUUCAACUUUCCUUGUGAAGUCUACGAACCAGAAAUUCUUAAUAAGGAAUUCUGUUAACCCGAGGGAAGGUGUUAGGAACCCCUAGAUUCUGUGGUUCUAGCAUGGUGUGACAACCCAAAGGGGUCAUCAUUUGAUUUCAUAUCUAUUCUCUACUUUCGAGGCCUUGAAAACCUCAUCUGGGGUUGCCUCAAUUUACUUGCGCAGUCCAAGCGGAUAGCCAGAAAGCUUAGAUAUGGACUUUGUGAGAAAAAUGCUAAAUUUUGAUAUUAAAUUGAAUAAAUUUGACGUCGGCCAAUAUAUUAAGUAAACGCACCUAAACUCAUGACGGUUUUGAAGGGUUCAAAGGAAAAUAUGGGACUUGGGCGUAUGCUCGGAAUCAAAUUCCGAGGUCCCAAACCUGAGAAAUAAAUUUUUGUGCGAAAUUAUUUUCUAGAAAUAAUUAAGAAAAUUGAAAAUGAAAUUUGAUUAGAAGAUUAUGGUAUCAGGCCCGUAUUUUAGUUAUUGUGCCUGGUACAAGUCUUAUAUAUGGUUUAAGAGCUUUCUGUAAAGUUUGGUUGAAAAUGGAUGUCAUUUGACGUGUUUCGGACUUAAAUUAAGAAUUUGAUGUUUUAUGAAAAUUUGGAGGAAAUCAUGUGUUUUGAGGCUCAAUUCGAUGUAUAUGAUGUUAUUUUGGCAAUUUGAUCUCACGGAUAAGUUUGUAGGAUUUUUUGAGGCUGUGUGCAUAUUUGGUUUGGAGCCCCGAGGGCUCGGGUGCGUUUUGGAUAGGUGUCGGAUUGCAUUUUUGAACUUGUAAAACAUGGUAUUUUUCCUUCUGUGAUUUUCGCAUUUGCAAAGAAGAGACUCGCAAUUGCAAACUUAGAAAUGCAAGUUCUGCAUCACAAUUGCGAAACCUUGGACCUGGAAAAUGAUCGCAAAUGUGAUCUAAUUCCUCGCAAACUCGAAUGAGGGAUUUCUAGGCACCGAUCGCAAAUGCGAUCAUUGUGCUCGCAAAUGCGAAGCCAGGCUGAUCACAAAUGCUAUAUUUAUACUUGCAAAUGCAAUACCUACCUAAAAGGUAAGGGUUCGAAGUGCAAACCCCGCUUCGCAAUUUCCACUUUUGGUCUUCAUAAUUGUGACAUCAGAGACUCACAAAAUUCAUACUUAGUCGAAUUUCCACCAUUCUUUCAAGACCCAAAACCCAUAGGCAAUUUUUAAAGGACAAAACUUCUUCCAAACCACUUGUAUGUCGGUUUUUACUGAAUUCCUUCAAUCAUUUACAUCAUUUAACAUGUUUUCCACUUAAACCAAUGAACUUCAUGGAUGAAAUUGGGGGUUUGGUGUAGAACGUAGGUUUUGCUAAAAUUUGGGAUUUUGGACCUCAAUUUGAGGUCCGAUUUCAAAACAAAUAAUAUAUUUGGAUUUGUGGGGGAAUGGGUAACUGUGUUUUGGUUUGAACCCCGGGUUCGAUCACGUUGGCCUGGGUGCAUUUUGGUCAUAAUACCUAAAUUUGUGUCUUAGCUUUAAACUAAAUAGUGGAAUCAGUUGUUGAGAUGUUAUUUACAUUAUGUAUUGAAAUGAAAAGAUUUGGGCCAUUUGGAGUUGGAUACUCGUGGCAAAAGUGUGCAUUCAAGUUGAAUUUGGAGCCGGUUUGAGGUAAGGGCUUGUCUAACCUCGUGUGGGGGACCUUUCCCCUUAGGAUAAGUUAUUUGGUAAUUGAGUGCUUUGUACGUGAGGUGACGAGCGCGUACUUGAGCUAAUUGUUGAAUAUCUGGUUUUUUACUUCAGAUAUUAAGACUGAGUUUCUUUUCGUAUUUGCCUUAUUUUACUUGCAAGUACAACAUGUGUUAGAUUAGAAAAGCAUGUUUUGAUGAUUUAACUUUCCUAAUAGCUUAAGUUUCCUUGACGGUAUUACGUGAAGCAUGAUAGACUAGUACUACCUGUUGCUUGUCUUCUUUUUUACUUCAUUUCUAUAUAUCUUCUGGUUGUGGUUGUGCAUUUACUUUGGGACUACGGAUGUGGGAUUCCGGUAGCUCCCCCCUCCUUGUGUGUUUACUUUGGGACUACGGGUUAGAUUCCUGAUGAUCCCCCUUCACUUUAUUUUGGGACUACGGGCUAGAUUCUUGGUAGAUCCCCCUGGACUUUAUUUUGGGGCUAUGGGUUAGAUUCCUUGUAGAUCCCCCUGUACAUUGAUAGUUGGACCACGGGACAGUAUCCCAGGAAAUCCUUCAGAUAUAUUCACAUAAUGGACUGCAGGACGGUAUCCCGGAACCUCCUCAGAAAGUUGAUGGAAUUGACUACAGGACGGUAUCCUAGGAGAUCCUCAUUUGGCAUUUUGGUAUUUAGCUGUACAUCCCUCUGUUUACUUUGUUCAUCGCUUGUUUGUUGUUGCUUAGUAAAUUAUGUCUUAUUUCACUAUUGGUUCCCAUUGUUUUCAUAUGAUUUCAUAUUGUGCAUUCUGAUUAUAUUGUUUAAUCUCAGUAAGGCCCUGACCUUCUUCGUCACUACCCGACUGAGGUGGGGCUUGGCACUUACUGGGUAUUGCUAUGGUGUACUCAUGCCUUUUCUGCGUAUGUUUUUCAUGUUCAGAUCUAGUUUCUAAGGCACAUUAUCCCUGAGGCGAAGACGUCUAGAAGAGACUUCGAGGUACAUCUGUUGCGUCUGCAGACUAGGAGUCUCUAUCUUAUUCCAGCAUUUAGUAGAUAGCUUUCCCCUUCUUUCAGUUACUUAGACAUUCUUGAGUUAGAGCAGCAUAUUACGUUUCUAUUAGCCAAUGUUACCCGUGAGUUUCUGGGUUUUGGGAUAUUUUUUAAGUUUUGUGAUGUUGAGUUGUAUAUGUCGAGCGCAUAUAUAUACAGUUUUCCUUAGUCGUUGAUUUUAAGUCUCUUUACUUCUGCAAGUUAUUUAAAUUUCCGCAUUAUCAGGCUUACCUAGUCAUAGGGACAAUGAGCCAUCACAAUAUGUUCAUGGAGGGAAAACUGGGGUCGUGACACACGGUCGCUUAAACCAUUACAAUUGGCAUAUUAUCUUAUUAAAAUAAAUGUUCAAACCUAUAUUGCAAUUUUAAAUUAUUUACCGCUUUUUAAUUAAUUUUAAAGAAGAUUGAACGUUGUUUAAAAUAUGUCUUCUGAUUGUGUCACAUGAAAUACACCCGCAAUCUGAAACACAUUUUAUUCAACAUUUUAGGAUUUGGAUUUUAGUAUGAAAUGCAAACUCGAGUUUAAGAAGUUUAAAUAACGCGCCUAAAAGCAACUAACGCAUUGAUAACUUUGCGGGAGGCCACGAAAAGUCGCUAAAUGGCACGUCCCGAGUUCUAAGGAUUUUAAAAAUAUAAUUAAAGAGGGCACGCAAUUUAUGAUUUUAGUUGGCACGGCGCACCUCAAUUUAAAAGGACAUUCGAACUAAUAUUCGGAGAACUAUUAUUAUCUAUUAUGGUUCAACUCGUAUUCUAAUUUAAAGACUUAAAUAGUUAACAUCAACUAUAGCUAAAAUUCUAAUUAAUUUUCAUGGGAAAAUCUAAUUGACUUAACAAGAGGGGCUAGGCCCAACACCAAUAAAUUGGCAGCCCAAUAGGAAAGAAACAACAUUCAAAAGGAAUAGAAGGUUUGGGCCCCCAAGAUCAAGCCUAGAUCCGAACAAUGACCAUUUCAAUUAUAAAGAAAUCCUUAGCUCGAAUCUGCUGCUUAACUUAGAAAGCCCAAUACUCAUAUUUUAAUUUUAGACCAUUAAACUAAAUAAAACAUUAUUCCAUGUCUUUUAUAGCCAUGGGCCUAAGGAUGAGCCUAGUUCACAUUCCAAACGCCUUGAAUAGAUCUGUGCUAUACGAAACGCCACAUGAAUGAGGGCAUAAAUUUUAUUGGGCCUGGCCUUGGAUCCAAAUGCGGGCUCCGUUACGCCCAACUCAAAUAAGGAAGGUAUUACGGGGUUAAAUCCGGGCAAACGCAGGAAGAACAAAUUUAAACUAAAGAAUCUGACCUGGGCUUUUAACCUAUUGGACUAACACUUCUUUUUCUAAAUGGGUCAUAAAAAUAUCCAAGACUCAAACAACCCAUUAGCCCAAUUAAGACUUGGAACAAACUAACCGAAAUAUAACCAUUUUAGAAAUUUUAGUCCUAGACUACUUAACCUAUUAACCAGAACUGAAUUAGUGAAUUAAAUCAAUGGACUAGUGUUACUAAUUAAAGAAACCAUAUAAAACUAGUCAUGCUUGAACAGGUGAUUGCAGAAAAACUAAAACAAAAAUGAACAAAAGCAACUUGAAAUCAAAACAAACUUAUGAACUAAAUGAAAAUCAAACAAACUAAAACUAAAGAGGAUAUUAAAUGACGAUUAGCCUAGAUAUGAAAAAGUAAAAAAAAAAGAAGAUAGAAGGAAAUAAUAAAAGUAAGUGAAGAAAGAGAUCCCGAACACACUUGUCUAAGAUAGGUAAGUAAAAACCUGGAAUCAACCCUUUGAGUAGCCUUGUUAUGGGUUGAAUUAGACCUUAAUCGUGUCUUCUCGAUGAAAACACACGGCUAAAGUUCAAUUCAAACCCAAACUUCAUCCAACUUAUCAUUUUGAAUUUUUAGGGUUCAGACCUUCGACUUAAGAUACGGGCAGUUCUGAAGGAUUUUGAAGCGGAUGGAGUGGGUAUUUGGAAUGAGUGGAGCUUGGGGGAUUAUUUGGUGUUAGUUUGGUGGUGGUUGGUGGUGGCGCCGCCACCGGAGAAAACAAGGGUGGCGCUAGGGUUUGGAUUUAUGAUCUGAAAUUCGAGCAGGUCAGCUCAGGUCUGAUUUGAUGGAAAGAGGGAGGUGAGGUGAGUCUCUGGUGUAAAUUUGGGCACAAUUGACCGUCGGCCGCCGCUGUAGGCGAUUUCUGGCAUGUGGCGGUUGACGGCGGAGCUCGGUGGAGUGUCUGAGGAAUUGAGAGAGAUGAAUGGGGGUAUGGGGAAAUGUUUGGACAUUUAAAUUUUAAAUGACCCAAGCUUCAGUAACGUCCGAUCAAGAAACCUCGACAGUCCUGCUAUAGCGUCAAUAAAACGGGGGUCGUUGGGGAAAAGAGGAUCUUGGACAUCGUUUCUGAGGGGCUAGGUUGAGUGUUUCUUGACGGGUUCAGGGGGAUUUUAGUUAUUGGGCUUAGGGCUUGUUUGGUCCAGGACUGGCCCAAUUUUAAACUUCUUUCUUUUAUUUUCUUUUUAUUUCAUCUUUUCUUUUUCUUUUCAAAAAAAACUAAAAUUAAACCUAGAAAACUAAAUUAACCUACUAAAUCAUAUUUAGCUCUAGUUAAUAAUCAACACCAUUAAUUAAAUAUCAAUUAAAAGGAGAAUUAAACAAAGCAAAUAAAUCAAUUUUUUGUUAUUUUUAUAUUUUGGUAAAACCCUAAUUACUAAUUAAUCUAAAAUAUAUAAAAUUAAAUCCUAAAUGCAAACGUAAUGCGUACUUUUGUAUUUUUUAUGACUUUAUGUUAAAUUAAAAAUGCACACAGUAAUGCAAAUAAACAUGAAAAUUAUGCAAUUAAAUCCUAAAAAUCAAAUAAUUAAAAGAAAAAUCCUAAAUCUAAGAAUUUGCAAGAGUAAUUCAUGCGAGGCAAAAUUCACGUGCUGAUAGCGAUCGCAGAAAACACUUCGAGAUCACGAAGAACAACAAUGCUUCCCCACGAAUUAAUUUUACGAGAACGCGGAAACCUCAGUAUGAAUAUGAUGUACUGGUCCUCAGACUUCCACGAUCGCACAACCACUCACGUGUUCACAUAGCACAACGCGAGUGACCCAUCUCCUGCCUCAUAUCCUCUUCGCCAACAUGGCUAUGCCCACCCAUUCACGUUGCUAGGCCUGGACAACCUACGCGAUCGCAUACUCCUACUUGCAAACGCAUAAAGUAAAAUCCCCAGCUGCCCCAAACAAGCAUUCACGAUUGUGUACCUACCCACGUGAUUGCAUAGAAAGAAUCACCAGCAAUCUUCAGUAGUCUUCCAAAUCCAAUUUUCACUUGGUUAACCAUCCAAAAUUCACCUGAGACUCCCGACACCUCAACCAAACAUACCAACAAGCCCAAAAAUACUAUACGAACUUAGUGGAUGUAUCAAGUCACAUCCUACAAUGCAAAUACAACAAACCUUACAUUGAUUAAGGUCUAAUGAACUUUUUGAACUUCUAACUUAAGUAUUUGAUGUUGAAACCUAUCAAUUCUCAUUUGUUUGACAUAAAAGUUUUCACACAAGUCGCAAAUGACACAACGAACCUACUCUAACUCAAGGUACCCCAAUCCGAGCAUGUUAAUCACCAAGUUAACUCUCGGUCAAACUUCUAAAUUACCAACUUUAGCCAUUUCAAGCCUAAUUCAACUACAGCCCUCUAAAUCACUAUAUCAACAUGCUCCUAAGUCCAACACUAUAUCAACAUGCUCCUAAGUCCAAAUCACCUAUCUAAGAUAGUGGAACCUUCAAUACUCCAUAUCGGAGCCAUUUACACACAAGUCAACAUCUGGUCAACCUUUUGAAUUUAAAAUUCAACCUUGAGUCAAAGUAUCUCAACUUAUUCUGAAACCUCCCUGUAACCGAACCAACUACUGCGACAAGUCACAUAGAAACUAUUAAGAAUAAAAUGAGCAGAAAAUGAGGGAAAGGGGCUACAACUCUCAGAAUGACUUUUUGGGUCAUUACAUCCUCCACGUUUUAAACAAAUAUUCGUCUUCGAACAGGUCUAGAAACACACCUGGAGUUUUAAAUAGGCAUGGAUAUCUUCUUCACAUAUCUCGCUCGCUCUCCCAAAUAGCCUUCUCAAUGCGCAGACCUCUACACUACACUUCCACUAAAAUUAUGUCCUUUGACCUUAACAUCCGAACAUGCCGACACAAAAAUGGCUACCUGCUCCACAUCAUAAGUCAAAUCACCACCAACUUAAUUGUAUUGAAACAUAAAACAUGAGACGAAUCACCUACAUACAUCCAGAGCAUAGAAACAUGAAAUACUAGAUGCCCACUCGACAGACUAGGUGGAAAGUCAAGCUUGUAAGCCACUUAUCCAAUCCUCUAAAGCAUCUAAAACGGCCCAAUAUACCGAGGGCUCAACUUUCCUUUCUUCCUAAACCUCAUAACACUCUUCAUCGGUGAAACCUUGAGCAGUACCCUCUCCCAAACCAUGUAAGCAACAUUACAAACCUUUCAAUCAACAUAACUCUUCUGUCUAAACUUCACCGUGCGAAGCCGAUCCUGAAUCACUUUAACCUUGUCCAAAGCAUCCUUAACCAAGUCAAUACACAAUAGCCUAGCCAUACUCAGAGUAAACCAACCCACUGGUGACCGACACAAUCUCUCAUACAAAGCCUCAUACAGAGCCAUCUGAAUACUCCAUUGGAAGCUGUUGUUGUAGGCAAACUCAUCGAGUAGUAGAAACGUAUCCCAAGAACCCCCGAUAUCUAUUACACAAAAGCAUAUCCUCCAAUAUCUAAAUUGUGCACUAGGACUAUUCAUCCAUUUAAGGGUGAAAUGUCAUACUUAACUCAACCUGGGUGCCUAAUUCUUGCGACACUGCUCUCCAAAACUGCUAUGUAAACUUUGUGCCUCGAUCUGAAAUGAUGGACACAUACCAGCACAACAUGAAGCCUAAAAUUCUCACAGAAGUAAAUCUAAGCUAGCCGCAUUGAAAAAUAAGUAGUCCCAACUAGAAUGAAAUACGCGAACUUGGUCAACCGAUCCACAAUCACCUAAAUAGCAUAAAACUCCUAGAAGUUCGUGGGAGUCCAAAUAUAAAUUCCAUGAUGAUGCGCUCUCAUUUCCACUCUGAAAUCUUAAUCCUCUCAAUAAAUCCACCAGGUCUCUAAUACACACGCUUUAACUACUAAUAGUUUACUCACCAAGACACAAACCUCACUAUAUCCUUCUUCACCUUCAUCCAAUAAUAAUGCUACCUCAAGUCAUGUUACAUCUUCGCAGCAUCCAGAUGAAUGAAAUACCACAUCCUAUGGGCAUCUUCAUGAGUCAAGUCACGUGGCCCAUCUACAUUAGGCACACAAAUCUGACCCUACAUCCUAAAAACCUGAUCAUCCCCAAUAGUAACUUCCUUGGCAUCACUGUGUUGAACUAUAUUCUCAAGGACAAGUAAAUUGGGAUCAUCAUACUAGCGCUCCCUGAUGCGGUCAUAUAAGGAAUACUGAGAAACCACAAGGUAGAACUCUACUAGGCUCCGAAACAUCAAAUCUCACAAAUAUGUUGGCCAAGCCCUAAACAUCAAUCGCGAGCGGUCUCUCACCAACAGGAAUAAAUGCAAGGCUACGCGUACUCAUCGCCUUUCUACUUGAGGCAUCCACCACCACAAGGCCUUACCAGGAUGAUACAGAAUAGUAAAAUCAUAGUCCUUUAAUAGCUCAGAAUAUGUGUCUCAAAUUUAGAUCCUUUAAUUUGAACAAGUACUGAUACUCUGAUGAUCGAUAAAUACCUCACAAGAGACACCAUAGAGAUAGUGUCUCCAAAUCAUCAAUAUAUGAACGAUGACAGCUAACUACAAAUUAUGAAGAUGGUAGUUCUCCUCAUACGGAUUCAACUGAUGUGAAGCAUAAUCAAUUACUCUACCCCUUGCAUCAAGACAAAACCAAUACCAAUUUAGGAAGCAUCACAAUACACUAUAUAAGAGCCUGACGCUGAAUGCAAAACUAUAACUGGAGUUGUUGCAGUCUUGAGCUUCUGAAAGCUUUUCUCUCACUCAUCUGACCGCCUGAAAGGAGCACCCUUCUAGCGCAAUUUCGUCAAUGGAGAUGCAAUAGACAAGAAACCCUCUACGGAGCGACGAUAAUAACAGGCCAAGCCGAGAAAGCUCUAAAUCUCAGUAGUUGAGGACGUCCUGGUCCAACUCUGAAUUGCCUAUAUCUUCUUUUUAAUCCCCUCACUAAACACCACGUGCCCUAAGAACGCCACUAAACUAAGCCAAAACUCACACUUGGAGAACUUGGCAUAUAGCUUCUCCCCCCUCAGCCUCUACAACAUAAACUUUAAAUGUUGUGCAUGCUUUUCCUGGCUAUAUGAGUACACCAAGAUAUCAUUAGUGAAUACUACGAAAAUGUAGUUGAGAUAUGGCUAAAAUACAAUGUUUAUCAGAUGUAUGAAUGUUUCUGGGGCGUUGGUCAACCCAAAAGACAUCACAAGGAACGCGUCGUAACUAUAACGAAUCUCGAAUAUUGUCUUUAGAAUAUCUGAGUCCCGAAUCUUUAACUAGUAAUGCCCAUGCCUCAAAUGAAUCUUAGAGAUCACUCUCGCUCUCUGAAGCUGGUCGAACAGAUCAUCAAUAUACGAAAAAGGAUACUAGUUCUUAAUUGUAACUUUUUUCAACUACAUAUAGUCGAUGCACAUCCGCAUAGUACCACUUUCUUCUUCUCAAACAGAAUUGGUGCACCCCAAGGCGACACACUAGGCCUAAUAAACCUCUAAUUAAGAAGUUCCUGAAGCUGCUCUUUCAAUUCAUUCAACUCAGCUGGUGCAAUGCGAUGAGCGGGAAUAGAAAUACGCUAAGUGCCCGGGACUAACUCAAUACCAAACUUAACAGCCAUGUCAAACGACAAGCCAGCAUGUCUACAAAAAACACAUCCAGAAAAUAUCGAACCAUCGGAAUAGAAUCAAUACUAGGAGUAUGUGCACCAACAUCCCUCACAAAGGCCAAAUAAGACAAAUAGUGAUUCCCAAUAAUUAGUUGGGCCUUCAAAUAUGAAAUCACUCUGCUAGGAAGAUAAUCUACGAAACCCCUCCACUCGAUCCUUGGCAACCCUGGCACUUCCAACAUUACAGUUUUAACGUAUUAAUCUAGAAUAACAUGACAUAGAGAAAACCAAUCCAUACCUAAAUUCACGCUGAAAUCAAAAAUACUAAGAAAUAAGAGAUCCACUCUAGUCUCCAAUCCCCCAACACUAACUACACAUGACCGAUAUACAUGAUCCACAAUAAUAGUAAUGCCCACCGGCGUAGAUACAUGAACAAAUGAAACUAAGGACUCAUGGGGAAUAUCUACAGAACAAGGAAAAUACGAUAAUAUAAAUGAAUAAGUGGAACUAGUUUCAAAUAAUACUAAGACAAUACAUGUGAUCACUAAUUCUAAAGAAACAACAUCUGGGGUGGUAGAAAUAGAAUAGAAUCGGGCUUGGCUGCCACUUGAUCGGCCUCCCCCUCUUGGGCGACCUCUAGCUGCCUGGGCCCCACCUCGAGCUUGCUAGGUAGAUGAUAAGGUAACUGGUGCAAAAUUUAUAGCCGGAUUCUUCUAUUGCACUGGUUUCACUAGUGGUAGGGAGAUUAUCUCAACAUAUCCCCAAACUCCCCGCACUUGUAAAACUCCUCUAUGGUGGUGGUUGAUAAGUGGGGAUUUUAACUACUUAGUAAUGCCUUUUAACUUUUUUUUUAGUUUGAAAGUGUUUAAUUGUGUUCCCAAAAUUGAUGAAAUGUCAAAAACUGCAAGAAUUUUAGAAGAUGGACUCCCGAGAUGAAAUCCAAUUCAAAAAGGAGUAAUCUAAACUCAAGGUCAUAAAUGGACCAAAAGCUCACAAAUGCUGACCGCAGAAUUUCAUCUGUGGCCGUAGAUGAUGAAGGAAAGACAGCAAACCUUUGUGCAAAGUGAUGUAUGGACGCAAAAGAUUUCUAUGUACAAACUUCAAAAAAAGUGCAAAGUUGCAAGUUUCCAAGUCCUUAAAAGUGCGGGGCACACAGAAAUUAUGUGGCUAUAGAAGAAGUGCCUUGCAGCUGCAGAUGUAAAAGUGCAGACCACAACAAGAAUUCCUCCCGGCCGCAAAUCAGAAUUAUGCGAACCUCUAGUUCCUAACAAGUUGAAUAAAUCUCCGAACGGCACAUGGAAUUGUGCGGCCGAUAACCUCCCAAAAGGCAUUUUUGUCCAAAAUAUCUAGCCUUGAAUAAAUAGAUCAUAUUAACAAAAUUAGGUCAACUUUCGAUAUCAGCAACUAUCGUAGUCGUUUCUCUUUGAUUCUUUUAGCAGAUUUCCAUAUUUUAGAAUACUUUAUAUAAAUAGUGUCAUUUUGAUCUUCCAGUAUCAGUUUAAUUAGCAUAUCUUUUUCUAUUUCUUCAAUUUCAAGCAUGAGUAGCUAGAUUUUAACUAGUAUUAUGACCCAACCCUAGAGUAUAAACCUUAAGGGUGUAUUAUUUAAUGUUUCUUUAUGGUUAGAUGUUUAUUAUUUAACCUUAUUCAUGCUUUAAGUUAUGGAAUUAAUAGUUGCAAAUAUUUGUUCAGGCCUAUUAGACUAAGUCUCUACUUGAGAAAAAGGAGACUUAGUCCAAGAAAACUUGGCUAACAAGAAAUUGGUCAAUUGAGAGAUUGAUAAUCCCAAUUAAAUGGUUCAACGUAGAGAUAGUAAUAACCCGACUUGAUCUUUUAUCAACCGUUUUGAGCAAUACUCAUUUGGUUUUGAGAAAGUUAAAUUGGACAAAAUCACUCCCUAGCCGAGAGGUAUUGAGUGGGUAAUUGAGGGUUGAUAGCUAUAAUACACCCUGAUCAACAAAGUAAGUAUUAAAGUUUAUAUCCCAUAAGGCAAAUACCUAGGUGAUGGUCAUAGCCCUGGGAUUUUUUUUCAAAACUUGAAAAAUAAUAAUUUCUUGAAUAACUCAUCCUCAUGCCGGAUCCCUGGUAGGAACACUUAUUUGCAUCAUGCAUUUGACUUAGGGGACUCAACACAGGGGUUGGGUCCGUGUAGGACAGGUGUACCCACUUUAAAAGACCAUCCUGAUGCAUUUUAUAUGCCACGUGUUGCAUUCUUUUCAAGGAUAAACGGGUCAUUUGGCGGAUCAAUAAUAGCUGAGGGUAUAUGAAAAAAUGAGAAAAAACAAGAAAAAAAAUGAAAAAAGAAAAAGAUAGGGUGAAGUGUGAAAUAAAGCAAGUAGGAUCUAGUUAUGUUUUGUUACAUUUUUUAAAAAAAAAGGAAAAAAGACAUACAUAAAAAAUCAAAAAAGAUUUUGCACUUUAUAUUAUUUUUCAAAAAACAAAAAGGGGGAAAAAUAAAAUUCAAAACAUUUUGCGUGUUUCAACAUUAUACAAGAAAAAGCAAAAAAAAAAGGAAUGUUUUCUCUAAAAUUAGCUGCUUUUUUUAUUUCUUGCACGUAUCAAAUUUGCCCGAAAAAUGCAAACUUGAUUCUCGUCUUUCGGGGCGUGAUACGUAGUCAACCUACAUAGGGUCCGGUUUUCUAGUAAAGUUUUUGGUUCUUGGCUUUGCAGGGUCAUAGUCAAAUUUUGCACUUCUAGCCACUUUUAGCCACAUAGGUUAGUAUUAGAAUUGAGAAGUUGUUUGUUGGAAAUUGUGUGAAUUGAGUUAUGUCAAUGGACUCUACUAUUAAAAUUCUUAGAGUUCAAGUUGGAAUGCUCUUGUCAAACUUCAUUUAUGCUGGCGAAAGAUCUGUUGAGAUCAGUCUUUAUUUGAUGGAGCAUUGUUUUUGUGAUUUCAGUUCAAUCUACGAAUUGUUGGUGGCGCCAUGUUUGAAAGUAAAUCAUGCAUUGUACACCAGUUAUCUUUGUGGUGAAGUUAUGAAGCUUGUUUGUUAAAAUUUUGCCACUAGUUAUGAAAAAGUUUCUGGAAAAAACUUAUAGCUGAAUAUCUCCUAGCUUGAACCUUGCUACAAUUGGUUUCUAAUAGUUGUUGUUGUCUUUGAGUUUAAUAGAGGGGAUUCAGUUGGACUAGAGAUCGAGCAGUUUGAAUUGUGAUUUGGUUGAGCAUAUAGUGAGCUUAAUCUGCCGAAAAUUGGUAUCCGUUGAGACUGUGCUCGAGUUCAGCAGUGAUAGCUUAAAAUAUGCUUUUUACUUCUAAAAAGUUCUCUUUGUUAAAUUAAGUGCUUUUAUAACAUAAACUAUUGUCCAGUUUGUUGGAAUCUACUGACAGAAGUUGCAUGUUUGCUGGAAAAUAAUUUACUGUCUGUUUUCUGUUGCUGAAAAGGAUUUCAUACGUGCUAUCCACAGCCUUGCAUUGUUCAUUUUUCGCUCAACAAUGGAGAUUUUCACAUUUCUUUAAUUGAUUGAUGUUACUAUAGUUUUUCAUAACAUUUGACGGAAUUUUGCAAAAGUUUUGGCUUCAGUUAACUUAAUUAUUUCUUCAGUUUUCAUGCCAACAAUACACUAUUGAAAUUCAGGUUUUGAGCUAUUUUCUUUAAAAGCAUAUCCUAUACUAUUCAGCUGUACUUUGUGGUUAUUCUGACUCAAUAUUGCUAUGAUUCUAAUGCUUUGUUUCGACAAUUGAGGUCUUCAUUCUAGGCUAAAACUUUAUCUGCCUACUGCUGCUGAAUUUAGUGCUCAAGGUGUUGCUAAAGUUUUGAGUUUUGCGAAGCAAUUGAAUAGCGAACCUGUCGCCUUGUUUGAAUCUUAGAAUUUUGCAUUUAAAUUAAAUUUGUUGAUGUAAUACAAGUUCUCUAUGCAUUAUUUCUAUUUUUCUACAACAUUUUGUAAACCUUAAACUAGGUUGGACAUUAGAACUUGUUUGAAGAAUUUUGAACUCAAAUAAGAAUUAUUUGGACUGUUAUUGAAGGUUGUUGAAAGAACGUUGAAAAUUUGCACUUUUGCACCAAUUAUCUAGUGAGUGCAAGCUGAUUUUUCUGCACCGUUGAGUUCAACUGAUUACAAAUAUUUUGGUGAUUCAGUUAACAGGGAUUAAAAGCUGACAAAUAUUGCUUAAUGUUACUUUGUUUGUUGCUGCUAGUUUAGUUUGGUGCUAGUUAGUCCAGCAGGCUAUAAAUGUCAAUCAGUAGAGUUGUCUGUAGCACAAUUUUUGCUUGGUUCUAUGUUUUAAUUACAUUUUGAGUUUGAUCCUACACGGUUGCUGAGUUUCAAUUAGUAGUCAAGUUACAACCGUGCUAUGUUGAUUCUCAUUCACGUUUUAGCAUGUAAAUAUAUUUAUUAAGUUUAAUCUCGGUAUUUUAGUCUUUAUUUCACCGUAUAGUUGGUUUAUUUAGCAAAAAAAAACCAUAAAAAGAGUUACAUUUUUUUAGAGUAUUAACUUUAUUCUCAUGUACAAAGAAAGUAGAGUUUCAAAAAUAUAGUCUGAUCUAGUAUCGUGAUUUUAUUUAGUUGUAGGAUUUAGGGAAUACUUAGUAAUGGCAGUAGUUAUUUUUUAAUAUAGUUACUAUUUUUUGUGGUUGAUUUUUGCUAUUUUAAUUUAGUAGUAUUUAGUUUCUAGUUUUUGUUACUUUUGAUCAUCCUUAAAGCAAAUUAAAAAUGAUGAAAAGGAAGAAGAGAAUGAUGAAAAGGAAGAAGAGAAAGUAGAAAGUAAAGAAUUAAAAAACAAAGAUUUGUUUUUUUGGGAUUACUACUUUUAGAAUGAUUUGUUGAGGUUUGCAAAUGUUUAUGAAAAUGGCUUGAAAUGUGUUGAGGCUGCAAAGUUGUUUGGUUAAAUUACCAUUGCUUCAAUUGUUGAAGAACAUGACUCGGAAGAUUACCAUUAGACUACAACUUUGUCAGUCAUUGUGAGGAUGUCUAGAAUUGCAGAAUUGACCAGUUUUUGCAUAUGUGACCAUCUUUUGUAAAUAUUUUGGCCGUCAGCUAGUAGCUUAUAUUUAAAAAGGGUCAAGAGUUAAUAAUGUUGGAUUUUUAUCUUUGUUGCUUAGUAUCAUAUGGUUUUGGUGGUAUUGAAAUCCUUUCAAUUUGAUUUUCAAAACAAAAUGUUUUUUUUGUUUCUUAGAGCUUUCAUGGUUUGAGUUGUAUAAAAAUAAAUAAAAAAUGAGUUAGUUUAUUCGCUCCAUUUUAGAUCUUCCAAAACUACGCAAAGGUCUGAUUCAUACGGGGUCAUGAUACAUAGGCAACCUACAUAGGAUUCGAUCGAAUUAUUUUAUUUUAAAAAAAAAGAGAUAAAGAUAAAAAUAAAAAAAAUAAAAAAAGGGAUGUAAUUAUGGGACAUGAAAAUUAGAUGUAAGAAGAGAGUGAUAAUCAGAAGGGAAAAGAAGAGGGUAAAUGAGCAAGAAAGUGCCAGAAAAACAAAGAAAAACAGAGGUUGAAAUGAGCAAAUUGGGAUGAUGCCAUAUAUACCUUCAAACCAUGUUAGAACCGGUAACUGUGACUAGGUACACUACAUGCAAUAUGAUAUUUUAGCUGAUUAAUAUCCUAAUGCUAACAAGAUGACUUCAUUUAGUUAUACUCAUAACAGAAGGGUGGUUGGUUUGUGGUUUUUAAAAUAGUAACUCUCCUCCACAACACAAAGUCAAAGGCAAUGGCGGACAACGAUAGAACUGAGUUGGGCGAUACCGGGGCCCGAAAGCAGUUGGUUUGACCAGAACAGUUGGUUAAUUGAAGAGGUACAAAGGUUGAGACAACACAUGGCAGAAAUGUAUCAGGCUUGGAUGAUUGACCAUAAUAGUGGGUUAAUUGAAGAGGCACAAAGAUUGAGACAACACAUGGAAGAAAUGUAUCAGGCUUGGAUGACCGGGACAACACCACCCCCGCCACCACCCAGCUGCUUAGAUGCUACCCUUCUCCAAACUCAGAUCAUGGUUUCGAAUGAUUCUCCAUACUCUCCAGAUGCACCCCCUUACUACAGUUUUUCCAACCACCCCAGUAGCUCCAUCACUUGCCCUCCAAAAAUCCCCAACAAUGAAUAUUUGCUCAGAGCUCAUGAUAUCCAAUGCUAUCCCGUAAAGGCGGCCAACAAGGUUCCUGACUCGUACAAGCAGAGCCUGUAGGAUGAGCCUCAUAUUGAGAAUGAAAAGUUCACAAGAAGGGAAAGGCAAGAUGGAAUACCCCGGAGGCUGGCAGGCAUAAGACAGUCCUUGAAGAACAAGCAAGGAAUGUAAGACCAGGGUAAUAUGGCUUGCGAAGAGUUGUUUGUAUCCCUGGCAUUCGCCCAUCUACUGGGUUCAAAGUGCCAAAAUUUAUCUUGUACGAUGGGUGUCCGGAACCGGUAGACCACCUGAGGGUUUAUUGCAGUGAAAUGAGAAGCGUUGGAGAGAAAGAUGACCUGUUGAUAGCAUAUUUCAGUAAGAGCCUGACGGGGGUAGCUUUGGACUGGUAUACUCGUCAAGAUAUCAGUAAAUGGCCUACAUUCGGUGACAUGGCUCAAGAGUUUGCUCGAUACUUUCAAUAUAAAGAAAGUAUUACCCCAGAUCGCUCUUCCCUAUCUAAAAUAAAAAGAAGAAGGAGAAAAGCUUUAGGGAGUUUGGGCUUAGAUGGAAGGCGCAAUGGUGCAUUAUAUUUGACAGAUGGGGAAGGAAAAUAUGUAGAAAUGGCUAUCAGUUUUCAUGCAGUCAAGAGAUACUAUGUAUGGUUCCUUUGUCUGAUUGUACUUGCUUGUAUAGGCAAAUUUGGAAGAUUGAAAUGACGAAGGCAUUUUGUUCUACUACCUAAAUACUUUAUCCUUUGGUAACCAUUUUGAGCUUUAAUUAUUUUCUUUCAUACCCCUCUUUCGAAAUCAGUAACAAAAGUCACAAACGCAAGUGUGAGAAGGCAAUAAAAGGAAAGGAAAGGAAAGAAUGAAAAUAAUGAAAAAAGAAAAAAAGAAAAAGAGAAAAAAAGGAAAAACAAGAAAAGAAAAGAGAAAAGAGAAAAAAGAAAAGAAAAAGGAAAGACAGAAAAAGAAAACAAAACAAAGAAAAAAAAAGAGAGAAGAAAAACAAAAAAAAAAAGAGAAGAAAAACAACAACAAAAAGAAGGAAUCGGUAUGAACUACGUUUGACCUGAUUCCUUUUAAAAGGAUAUGUAGGCAGCCUCACGGUUCGGUCUCAUCAAAAUAAAUAACCAAAGUCCCCAAGCAAGAAAUUGGGCAAGAAGUUGUGGUUGUUGUAAGAAAAGAUUUUCGAAAGUUGUAAGUUUUAAACCCAUUUGAAUUGUUUUGAGCCUUUGAUACCCUUUCUUUCCAACCUUAUCCAAAAGCCUAUGUUACCAUCCAAAGAAAGACCUUCUGAUCACUCUUCAAGAGAUGCCAAGUUGAGUUAGUAUAGGUGAUACAUGUCAGGGCAACACAACGGUCCAAGCAGGAAAGAUAAUAAGAAUGACAGAGUCUUAUUGGUGAAAAUCCUCACGGGCACCGUAAGGAGACGAGAGCUGAGAGAAAUAAAAAAAUUGAAAAAAUGAGAGAGUCUUAGUGGUGAAAACCCUCAUGGGCACCUUGAGGCGACUGUUAGUUGAGAGAAAACAACAAAAUUAGAGAGUCUUGAUGGCUAAAACCCUUUGGGCGCUACAAGUCGAAUAAGGAUUGUGAAUCAGAUUGGAUAACCGGAGCAUUGAAGCCCAGCUUCAUAGUCUGGGGAGUAUAAUAAGAGUUGAACAACAGAUUUUCUUAACACAAUAGGCCGCAGGUGCAUGUCAUGGUAAUUAGAGUUGGUACCUGCAUUUUAUAGGUUUCUACUUUCUAGGUUUUUUGUUAAGAAUCAUCUCAUUUCCUUGUCCUCUACUCUGUUCCUUUUGUCUUGUUUACUCCCUCCUCUGGAGUUUGUCGGGUCAAAAAAAGUGAGAAAUGACUUCAAAAUCUGCCACCAGCUUUCCAAUAGCACAAAAGGGGACAUGUUUGUCACAUCAAAGCAAUUUAAGUCAGGAAAGAACAACAAGCACAUUGAGCUGGUAACAAUCAACAUACUCUGGGAAUCAUUUGAUAUACAAAGGCUCUGUAUAUAUAAAAUCAUGGAAAACGCAGCAGAACGAAGGCUAGGGUGAAUGGAUCAAAGGUGCUUUCAGUGACAAGAAGGGUGGUAAACCAGUGACAAGCAAGAUCUUCCAAGAUGAAAUCGAAGUUAUCAUGGCAAGCGAUGGAGAAAUAGACCUCAAGGUCAGAGCCAGUGAUUUGGGUCAGAAAAGAACAUCAUAUACAAUGUGGUGGGUAAAUAUGCUUUGGGGGUCAGGUGAAACACAAGGGUUUUGAAGAUGUCAGUCCAGGAACAAUGCAACAGACAGAAGGUAUUGGGUUCGAAUGAGAAGAGAUAUUUUUAUGGGUUAAGGUUCACAAAGGAAGUGGUUAGUCAAGGGGCAAACAUGGUCUUCAAAUGAAAAUCAAUUAUCAUGACAAGUGAAGGAGCAAUAGACCUCAAGGUCAAGGCUAUUGGUUUAAAUUACUAAAAACAGCAUACACAUGAAAUGGGGGGCGAUGAACGUGCUUUAGGAUUCAUGAGGGACACAAAGGUUGGGAGGAUUUCAGUUCAUCAACAAUGCAACAAAUAAAGGAUAUCGGGUUUGAACGGAGAAGAGGUAUUUUCGGUGAUAAGGGUGACAGAGAAGUUUGUCAGCCAAUAAGCAAGCCAUGUCUUUCAGGGUGAAAUCAAAGCUGCCAUGGCAAGUGAAAAGUUGCAACACAAAGAUGGGAGGGCCACAGGAGUUCAGGGAUCAGCCAAGCAUCAUAAACUGGCCGGGUAACCUCAGGAAAGGAUGUGAGAAUUUUAGCAAAGGGUCGGAAAUACAACACAAAGAUGAGGAGCAGAGUGAAGGUACAAGGGUUCAGGGGUCAGCCAAGCAUCAUAAACUAGACGGGUAACCUCAGGAAGGGCAUGAAGAAUUCCGGCAAAGGGUCGGAAGUGCAACACAAAGUAGGGAGCAGAGUAAAGGCACAAAGGACAAGGUCCAACCAAAUAUCAUAGAGAGACCGGAUGAUUUCAUGGAAGGGUGCAAAGAUUUUGGCAUAGGAGUGGAAAGGCAACACAAACUUGUAGAACAAAGUAAAUCCACAAGGUUCAGAGGGUUGACCAAAUCAUAAUACAUUAAUUCAUCAAUCAUCGGGGAAGGACAUAAUGGAUUCCGGCAAAGGAUUUGGAAUGUAACACUAUGAUGCGGGGCAAAACAAAGCCUAAAGGUUUCGAAGGGUCAGCUAAGCAGUCCAAGCAACUCAUCACUGAUAUGGACAAUGGAAUACAAUGGAGCAUGAUAGUGGGGAGGCCGCUUUCAACAAGAAUGUCGCGGGUUAACCACCACUUUUCGAACUGACAAAUUAUCUUUGAUUAACACAGGGGAAAAAAAUUCUGGAAGAGCCUAAGGGGGAGGCUGCCCACAGGAGAAGGCAAGCACACGACAAGUAUGAUCAAAAUCUCAGGGCCCACCUGGAAGUGGGACUUAGUUAAAACUCGAAAAGGACAUAGUCCAUCUCAAAUAUCCUCCCCAAGUGAAGCAAUGGGACAAACUUUAACUAGCAAAACCCGAUAGAAACAACUGAAUGUUAAAAGAGCCAUGGAAAUUGAGAGUGAACGCAGUUUAUAACGCAAAUAGGUGUGGGAAACAUGGGCAAGCACCAACACCUUUCCCAGUAAGAGUCAUAGAAACCCUCCUGGACAAUAAUCACAAGCAGAAACAACUAGUAAUUAGAAUUGGUAUUUAAGUCGGAACCUUGAAGACCCUCUUGGAGAAUGGGACUCAUUUUAAGACUACGAGUAAUCAUGGAUACCAAAUGGCAUAAAAUGAGUUGCAUGCUUAAGUAUGAUUCAGUUAAAGAGUUGUCAGGACCCUCCUGAAAUAUGGGACUUAGCCUAGAACACAAACAGUCGGGUGGCAUGGCCAAACCCAAAUACUUCCCAAGCAAAGGUCAACAAAAGUCAUCCGGACACUCCUGAAAAAUGGGCCUUAGAUUAGAUAUUUCCCCAAUAACCUUAGGUUUAGAUAUAUUUGAUAAAGGGAUUUGAUAAACACUCACGGAUCCUCCCAGCAUCAAACUGGGGAAGGAAGAAUUUUUGUGUUUUGUUUGUUUUGUUGUGAUUAGGAACACAGGCAGCGGUCUCUGAGAAUACUAUUCAAGUUUGAUAAUCAGGCGCCCACCUGUAGAACAAGGGAAUAUUUUUAAAAAAUUCAAGUUUUGAAAAUGAGGCACCCACCCGUAAAAUAAGGGAAUAUUUUUCAAAAUUUCAAGUUGUGGUAAUUAGGCGCCCACCUGUAAAAUAAGGGAAUAUUUUUCAAAUUUUAAUGUUUGAUAAUUAGGCGCUCACCUGUAGAAUAAGGGAAUAUUUUUCUAAAAAUUCAAGUUUUGGAAAUCAGGCGCCCACCUGUAGAAUAAGGGACUAUUUUUCAAAUUUCAAGUUUUUGUAAUCAGGCGCCCACUUGGAGAUCAAGGGAAUAUUUUUCAAAAUUUCAGGCUUUGGCAAUCAGGCACCUACUUAUUAAAACAAGGGAAUAUUUUUCAAAAUUCAAGUUUUGGUAAUCAGGCGCCCACCUGUAGAACAGAGGAAUUUUUUUCAAAUUUCAAGGUUUGAUAAUCAGGCGCCCACCAGUAGUACAAGGGAAUAUUUUUCAAAAAAUUCAAGUUUUAGAAAUAAGAGCCCACCUGUAGAAUAAGGGAAUAUUUUUCAAAUUUCAAGUUUUGGUAAUCAGGCGCCCAUCUGGAGAAUACGGGAAUAUUUUUCAAAAUUUCAGGCUUUGGCAAUCAGGCGCCCACCUGUUAGAACAAGGGAAUAAUUCUCAAGAAUUCAAGUAUUGGUAAUCAAGCGACCACCUGUAAGGGAAUAUUUUUCAAAUUUCAAGGUUUGAUAAUCAGGCGCCCAUCUGUAGAACAAGGGAAUAUUUUUCAAAAAAUAAUCAUGUUUUUGAAAUCAGACGCCCACAUGUAGAACAAGAAAAUAUUUUUCAAAAAUUCAAAUUUUUGUAAUUAGGUGUCCACCUGUGAACAAGUGAAUAUUUUUCAAAUUUCAAGGUUUGAUAGUCAGGCGCCCACCUGGAGGACAAGGGAAUAUUUUUCAAAAUUUCAAGUUUUCUUAAUCAGGCGCCCACUUGUAGAACAAAGGACUAUUUUUCAAAUUUCAAGUUUUCGCAAUCAGGCGCCCACCUGUAGAACAAGGGAAUAUUUUUCAAAAAUCAAGUCUUGAUAGUUAUACUCCCAUCUGUAGAACAAGGGAAUACUUUUCAAGUGUAAAGUUUUGGUAAUCAGGCAUCCACCUGGAAGAACAAGGGAAUACAUGUCAGUUUCGUUCAAGCUUUGGUAAUCAGGCGCCCACCUAGAGAACAAGGAAACACAAGUCGAGUUCAGCAAUCAGGCAUCCAUUGGGAGAAAGGGGAAAACAUCUCGGAUUACAAGUCAACAACAAAAGAAGCUCACGGCGAGAAUGCAAGUCAACAGUUCGAGGUAAUCAACAAAAGUUAGUCAGAAUAAAGAAAAAAAAAGAAGAAAAAGGAAGGCAAGAUGGAAGUUAAUCCAAAUAAAAGCAUAUGAAAGAGGUGAAUUUCUCAAGGUAUGGUUUAGGACGCAAGCGAUACAUGUUCGAUCUUAAUUAAGAAUAGCUGCAGAAGAACGAGCUAGUACUUGCACAUAACAAGCGUCAAGGUUGAAAUCUAAAGUCGGAAUGAAGAACCACUCAAGACUCAAGAUCAAGCAUCAGAAGACUUAUAGAUAGGAAUCUUGUAACUCGUAGUUGACAGGUUUAGCAAGUCUUUCUCAUUCUUUUGAUUUUGAUGUAAUAACAGGACCGCGGACCGGAACCUAGGCAGAACGGCACCUCGACUGGAUCUUCGUCUCGGCAUGCUCUUUCGUCUCACUCACUCAUGAACUACACCGACCAGAUUCCUCUUUAGCCGAGGAUAUGUAGGCAACCUCUGAAGCAGGGUGCGGCCAAGCUUUUCAAAAGGCUUCCCAACGAAUAUUCAAGUGGGCAAAAAUCGCUCGUAUCCACUCACUUUAUCUUUGCAUGAAAAUCCUUCAGGUUUCCGAGCAAAGAGGGCAGCUGUGAGCACGUGAUUUUUUCCCUACAUGAGAAUAACUCUUAAAAAAACUAGUCCAAAUUUUUUUUUAUUAAUUUUAGGAAUUUUUCUUUAUUUUAGUUGCAUUUCAUGCAUUUUUAAUAUUUUCAAAUCAUAGAAAAGCCGUAAAAAAGUGUCACAUUUUUAAUUUUAUGCCACCUUAGAUUCAAUUUGCAUCUUGGAAUUAAUUAUAUUAAGUUAAUUGUGUAUUUAAAAAAAUCAUAAAAUGGUUAAUUUUGCACUUUUAAUUAUAGUCUUUGAAUUUCGGUAGUUUUCCGUUUAAUUUAGUUUUAUUUAUUGCAAUAAGUAUUAGUUGUAGUAAUUAGUUUAAUUUUAAAUUAGCUUGACUAGGAAUUACUUUAGGUGUUAUUUUUAGUUUUAAAUUAAAAAAAUUUGGAAAAUAUGAAAACAAAAGAGGUGAAUCAUAUUUUUGGGACAAAAUCUUAGUAAAAUUCCAGCCCAAUGCAAUUGCCUUUUUAAACCCAACCCAAAUCAGCCCCUACCCAACCCCAAACCGGGUCGACCCGACCCAACCCAAUACCCAAAUCCAUUUCCUAACCUAAAAUCCUAACACAUAAACAAUACACACAAGGCACACAAUACGGAAGAGAUACAGAGAGACGCCUGGGAGAGGGGUUGCACAGCUUUGGCUGCUUCUUAACAAAAAUACACGCCUAUACAGGCGAUUCACACACAAUAGAUACAGGAGGAUACACAAUACACGCCUGGAGGGGAAGGGCUGCACAGCUUUGGCUUCUUCGUAACAAAUGCACGCAGAUACACAUGAUACAAUACACACUGAUACAGGAGGAUACAUUGAAGGAAAAGAAGCUGCGCUGAGCAUCAUACCCACCCCCCUUGGAACUCAUCUUCCGCAUCGCACCCUACCUCAAACGCCAUCCUGAGCCAAGCAGCCAUCACCUUUAAUCUCCACCCUCUUUCCUCAACGACCAGCAACACCCUCUCCAACACACAUGGUUAGAAACAGUGAAGGAGAACAAAACUUGGUGAGGUCCCUGGUCAGAGAUCAGAAAAGAAAUAGAAAAUAAAGGGAGUUCGAUUGAGCCGACGAGCUUUUAAUUGGCAGAUCCGAGGUCGCCGCUGAGAUUCCGGUUUACGUCCAGUUGUCCGAUCUGAAACCCUGUUGAUUCUAACAAAUCUGAUAGCAUAAAUGUUCAGUAGUAAAGGUCCUGUCUUCAUCUAAAUAUCCUAAAUGCAAUGUUAUUUCUUUUAGUUGGUUUGUUUAAAUUAAAUGCUUUGUUUGUUCUCUUUGUUUAGCAUCUUCGAUGCUUUCCCUGCUUUCAAUCGUUUGUUUCCGUUUCACUGUAUUUUGGAUGCCUAAAUAUGGAUGUUCCCGAUUUGUUUUAGUAAAUAUGAUUCACUACAUAAAUUUUUGGUUCAUG